RNAcentral lists this long non-coding RNA (62867 nucleotides) under Zea mays. RNAcentral describes it as "long non-coding RNA (ZMAY_LNC000809)". Lineage: Eukaryota; Viridiplantae; Streptophyta; Magnoliopsida; Poales; Poaceae. The record is from RNAcentral.
CGGCCUCCUCCGCACCGCGCAACUCGCACGCACAAAAUUCGCGGGGGGAGUGCCCGGUCCUGUUCUUCCAGGAAGGUGCAUUGCAUUGCAGUGCACCCACGACGCAACCAGAAAAUGCUCUCACCACGAAAGCUCUCGGUGGCACCACCUCGGACGACGUGCGUCCCAGGAUCCAUGCGAAUAGCUCAUGCGAUUCGACGUCUUGGAUGUAUUUUAGCCGUUUCUGUAUCGGCGGCAGCAGGAUUGAGAUAAAGAUCCUCUGCAGUCGGUUCAUGCAUGCAUGGUCCUUGUCCUUCAUCGGUGGGAGUGGAGUGGGACUGGACUGAUGCCGCUUUAUCGGAUCCACAUGCCAGCACUGUUAUUUCCUCUCUUCUCGAAAGGAUGCCGCCGGGCGGGCCUCUCGCACCAACACGAUCCACAGCACGCAGAAAUAAAAUCUGCAGCGAGCGAUCGAUCUAAAAGGAGGCCGAAUAGAUGCGCCGCUGAAGCCCCAGGGAAAAAAGCCACGAUUUGCGCAACCCACGAUUCUGCGAGUUUCUUAACGACACAAAAGACAAAAACGAAUGACGGAUACUACUAUUUGAUAACAGCUACGGUUAGAUCCCCCAAAUGAAUUUUCUGAUACGGUUAAAGCAUUGAUCCUGUGCCAGGGCACAAAGCACCUAGGCCAUAUGGGCUUUCACCUGGGCCUUCGUCAAAAACUAAAAAAACAAAAAAAAACUUGUUGAGACAUCAUCUAAGAGCUAGUUUGAGAACCGUAUUUUCUGAAGGGAUUUCCAUUUUUACAAGAGAAAUUAGUUUAUUUUUGCUUGAGAAAAUAAAAAUCUCUUGUAAAAAUAGAAUCUCAAACUAGCCCUAAGUAGGAGUUAUGGCAGUGGCCAAUGCUUUCCAUGACAUGCGGUGCAUCGAUUUGCAACUCAUCAACUCCGCAAAUAUAGUCCUCGUACCCAAGAAAGGAGCAGAAACCGCGGGAGACGAUUUCAGACCCACAAGUUUAAUCCACUCUCUUAUUGAGAUCAUUACAAAGACUCCCACACUUCGAGUAGCCUCAACAUGAAUGAGAUAGUCUCACCUUGCCAAAGUGCCUUCACCAAGAUGAGGAGUAUCCAUGACAACUACAUGGCAGUGCGUAGCAUGUGAUUAGGAGAUGUAAUAGAAGCAAAAUUGCCGCCCUCUUCCCUAAGCUCGACAUUGCCAAAGCAAUUGACUCUGUCAGAUGGGAUUACCUUCUUGCGCUAUUACAACGGCUUGGGUUUCUGACACGUUGGCGUGAUUGGAUUGCAACCAUUCUUUCUUCGUCUGCCUCACGGGUGUUCGUCAACAGGGUCCCAAACCCUCCUCUCCGGCAUGGAAGAGGCCUUCGGCAAGGCGACCCGCUCUCCCCCUCCUCUUCGUCACUACGAUUGACCUUUUACAAAUAUUUCUUGGGGUGCCGACUGAGCUAGGCAUUUUAACUAAAAUGUAGGGACACCUAAUAAAUCUACGCAUUUCCCUCUACGCACAUGACACAACGACAUUCAUCGAACCGAAUAAGAAAGGAGGUGAAGGUGAAUGUGCGCCUUCUAAAAUUGUUUGGCCAAUCAUCACAAACUUACAAAAAUCAACUUUGGUCCCAAUAUGCUGCAAUAGCAUAGACGUGGCUAACAUUUUGGAGGGGCUACAAGUCAAAAGGACAGUGUUUCUGAUGAGAUUUCUUGGCCCUCCUUUAUCUAACUCUAAACUCGAGAAGGUGGACUUUCAGUUCUUGCUAGAUAAAAUCUUGAGUAAGAUCAAUAGAUGGAACAGAAGAAAUAUGAGUGUGGUGGGAUGCCUGACCUUGGUAAAGUCAGUGAUCACCUCUAAGCUAUCUAUGUCCUAUCUGCCCUCAAAGCAACAAACAUUAUGGAGUUCGUGGACUCAAAGCGGAGGUAAUUCCUAUGGACUAGAAUGGAGAGUCACUAGGGGAAUGCAAAGUGAACUAGACUCGUUCAGCAAGACCAAAAGCCUUGGUAGGUUUGGGCAUCCUAUACCUACAAUCUUUUGCAUAUGCACUCGCUUGAGGUGGCUAUGGUAGGAUUAGGCAGCCAUUGUUAGUCUCGACCUCGAUAUUGACUCUCCUUGCACAACAACUAAUAGAGUUGUUGUUCGCAGUAGCGACGUAAAGGACGAUAAGCGCGCUUCAUUCUGGGAUAGUGCGUGGAUGCAGGGAACAAGGCCAAGAGAGCUCCGAAUAUCUUCCAUAUUUAUAAAGAAAAAACAAAUCAUUGAAAGGGACCUUGUUCAAUAAUAAAUAGACCCGGGACCUCAAUCUACAACAUCGUGAUUUCUCAGCCAUGCAUCUUGUGGAGUUAUAUUAGCUCUGGACGAGAGUGAGCCAGAUACAGUUGCGUUUGCGUCCGGAAGUGCCUACUAGUAUAUUUUGGAAACUUUCUAGAAACAACAAGCACCAUCCGAGAUCAGCAUACCAAGAGAGUAGAUCAUUUGGAAGAACUAGGCUCCACUGAAGUGCAAGUUUUCAGCUGGCUAGUGAUCUAGGAUAGGAUUAGAUGAUCGACCACUUGGCGAGGAGGGGAUGACCCCAUAACCCGGUGUGCACACUCUACCACACCUUUCAAGAAACUGUGAUGCACCUCUUCUCCGGUUGUCGUUUUAUCAAGCGCAUUUAGGCAGAGGUGCCAUGCUGGGGGCAGCUGAAGAUAUAUCUCCUAAAGCUUGGGGGUCAACAUGAUCCAGUCCUUCUAUGGCAGAUGGUGAGAGCCAGAGCCUCAAUGCGAAAUAGAGAAGUGGUCUAAGGAGCCCGAGCAUGCUGGUGAUCUAGGAGCUUUGGUGUGAGUAGAAUGCGACAGCUUUCUUAGAUGGCUGCAAGUGCCCGUCUUCAGUCUUAGAUGGCUGUAACUCUAAACCUACCGAGCCUUCUUAUACAUAGUUAGUUAUUUCUUGUAUUUUCUCCCUGGUUUGGCUUAUGGGUGGUCUUCAGUCGUGGGUCUAGCUCCCAGCUAGACCCUGUAUAGACUUGUGCCUUCCAUAUGCCUCUCUUUUUAAUAUAAGAGAUUACUCUCCUUUCUGAUAUAUAUAUAUAUAUAUAUAUAUAUAUAUAUAUAUAUAUAUAUAUAUAUAUUGUCGGCGUUUCGAGACCGGGGGGUCCCUGAGCCGACGAGUGAAGUGUCGCCGCGUGCCCCAGCUCAGAUGGGUCGACGCGAGGCCGAGCGCGAAGGGGGGAAGUGAGGUGGCCGGAGAUGGGCGUGAGAGAGGUGGAAAUCCCGCGGCCUUCGUGUUCGUCCCGCGCCCAGAUCAGGUGCGCUUGCAGUAGGGGGUUACAAGCGUCCACACGGGGGAGGGAGCGAGCGACCUCACGCGAGCGCCCGUCUCGUCCUCGUCCCCGUGCGGCCAACCCUCUCUAAGAGGGCCCUGGUCCUUCCUUUUAUAGGCGCAAGGAGAGGAUCCAGGUGUACAAUGGGGGUGUAGCAGAGUGCUACGCGUCUAGCGGAGGAGAGCUAGCGCCCUAAGUACACGCCAUCGUGGCGGCCGGAGAGAUUUUGGCGCCCGGUUUGUGUGAUGUCGUGGCCGUCGGAGGAGCGCUCGAACCUGGCGGAGGGACAGCUGUCGGGGCCGUCGAGUCCUUGCUGACGUCCUCUUGCUUCCGUAAGGUGGCCGAGAGCCGCCAUCGUCAGGGAGCGUGCGGGGCGCCAUCAUCGCCUAUCUGGCGGAGCGAGCCAGAUGGGACGCCGGUCUUGUUCCCCGUAGCCUGAGUCAGCUUGGAGUAGGGAAAUGAUGGCGCCUCCUGUUGACGUGGCCGGCCCGCGCCCUAGGUUGGGCGAUGUGGAGGCUCCUCCGAGGUCGAGGUCGAGUCCGUCUUCUGUGGCCGAGGCCGAGUCCGAGCCCCUAGGUCGGGCGAGGCGGAGGCCGUUGGCUGAGGCCAGGGCGGAAUUUGAGUCCUGGGGUCGAGCGAAGCGGAGUUCGUCGUCUUCUGGGGCUGAGCCCAAGUGCGAGCCCUGGGUCGGGCGGAGCGGAGUUCGCCGUCUUCCGGGGCUUAGCCCGAGUCCGAGCCCUGGGUCGGGCGGAGCGGAGUUCCCCGUCUUCCGGGGUUUAGCCCGAGUCCGAGCCCUGGGUUGGGCGGAGCGGAGUUCGCCGUUUUCCGGGGCUUAGCCCGAGUCCGAGCCCUGGGUCGGGCGGAGCGGAGUUCGCCGUCUUCCGGGGCUUAGCCCGAGUCCGAGCCCUGGGUCGGGCGGAGCGGAGUUCGCCGUCUUCCAGGGCUUAGCCCGAGUCCGAGCCCUGGGUCGGGCGGAGCGGAGUUCACCGUCUUCCAGGGCUUAGCCCGAGUCCGAGCCCUGGGUCGGGCGGAGCGGAGUUUCCUAUGGUGCGUGCGGCCGGGCCUGACUGCCUGUCAGCCUCACUCUGUCAAGUGGCACCGCAGUUGGAGCGGCGCAGGCGGCGCUGUCUUUCUGUCAAACCGGUCAGUGGAGCGGCGAAGUGACGGCGGUCACUUCGGCUCUGUCAGCUGAGGGGCGCGCGUCAGGAUAAAGGUGUCAUGCCACCUUUGCAUUAAAUGCUCCUGCGAUUUGGUCGGGGUUGCUUCUCGGCGAAGACAGGGCCUCGGGCGAGCCGGGAACGUGUUCGCCGCUGGAGGGGGGCCUCGGGCGAGGCGGAGAUCCUUCGGGGUCGGCUGCCAUUGUCCGAGGCUAGGCUCGGGCGAGGCGUGAUCGAGUCCCUCGAAUGGACUAAUCCCUGACUUGAUCGCACCCAUCAGGCCUUUGCAGCUUUAUGCUGAUGGGGGUUACCAGCUGAGAAUUAGGAGCCUUGAGGGUACCCCUAAUUAUGGUCCCCGACAGUAGCCCCCGAGCAUCGAAGGGAGUGUUAGCACUCGCUUGGAGGCUUUCGUCGCACUUUUUUGCAAGGGGACCAGCCUUUCUCGGUUGCGUUUUGUUCCGGUGGGUGCGCACGAGAGCACCCGCCGGGUGUAGCCCCCGAGGCCUCGGAGGAGUGGUUUGACUCCUCCGAGGUCUUAACGCCUCGCGCAAUGCUUCGGCUGGUCUGGUCGUUCCCUCAUGCGAGCUGGCCGUAGCCCGGGUGUACGGUCGGGUCCCAAGUUCUCGGGCUGGUAUGUUGACGCUGUCAACGGUUUGGCCGCAGCCGGGUUUGCGAGAGCAGCCCCCGAGCCUCUGCACAGGGCGAGAGGGCGAUCAGGGACAGACUCGACUUUUUUGCAUACGCCCCUGUGUCGCCUUUCCGCAAGGAGGAGGGGGGGAGAGCGCCAUGUUGCCCUCGGUGGGCGCCGAACAUGGUGUCUCCGGUGAGCUAUAGGCGGGUGAUCCGAGCGGACGUCCGUGCCCCAUUCGUUAGGGGUCGGCUAGAGGCCCAGAGGCGCGCCCAAAAGUACCUGCGGGUGAUCUGCCGGACCCGGUCCCCUGGCGACGGGGUCCGAGGGCUCGAUGCCUCCCUCCGAUGGGAUUCCGUUACAAGAUCGUUCCCGCUGGUCUCGGAAAUGUCCUAGGGUACCUCGGGAGCGUAGCCCGAGCCUUGGUUAUCUAUCGAACGUACCCAUGGUCAUCCCUCGCUCUGUGUCUGAGGCGGCUGUGAACCCUUCGGGGGCCAGCCUUCGAACCCCUGAUCAGUAGUGGGCGCGGAGCCCGAGUAGCCUGAGGCGGCCGUUGAACCCUUCCGAGGGGCCGGCCUUCGAACCUCUGACCAGUAGUGGGUGUGGAGCCCACGUGCUCUGAGGCGGCUGUUGAACCCUUCCGAGGGGCCAGCCUUCGAACCUCUGAUCAGUAGGGAGGCUCGGAGCCUGGUUCCUUCACAGGGAAGGAUCCCUUCCGGGGUAUCCCCCUUUCCCGGUCCCUGUUGCAAGAGAGAGAAAGAGGAAAAAAGAAAACGAAAUCGAAUGACGCGGUGUACCUUUUUUGACGCGGUCAUUAUGGCGAAGGCGAAGCGUCGCUCGCUUCUCCUGCCAGAGGCUGUCCCGCCGCGGAGUUAAUGCGACGGGGCGAGUGGUUCGCGGGGCGGCCGUUUCGCGUGCGCGAGCCGUUCGAGGAACGACUGUUUCGCUUCGUGUUUUUGAAUCCCGCGGCCGGUCCGGGCAGAACGUUGAACCGGUCUCGCCUUGGUCUUUAUAUACUUGGGGGAGGGUCUGGUGAUGGUUCUUUGCUUCGCUUCCUGCCUUCCUCUUAGGUUUUCGCAACCCGAGAGACUUAGCCAGAGAAAAGGAAACCGCCCACCCUGUCCCUUACGCCGCCACCCCUUCUGCUCGGUGAUGGCCAACCGGGUGACCAUCGUCUCGCCGCGCGACCCGUGGCCUUCCUCCACAGUGACGGCGGGUGAUCUGGAGGAUCUUGUUGCUGAGGGUUUACUUCGCCCUCUCUCUGAUGAGAGGCGGCCGGAAUGGAUUCCCCCCAUGAGCGGAGCCGCUCCGUCCCCACCGCUGGGGUACAUCAUGAGCUUCGCCUCCUUCCACGAGCGGGGAUUUGGUGUGCCGGCGAGCCGCUUUAUGCGGGCGAUCCUGCACCACUACGGGGUGGAGCUGCACAACCUCAGCCCCAACUCCAUCACGCAGGCCGCCAUCUUCGUAGCACUGUGCGAGGGGUACUUGGGGAUCGCCCCUCACUAGGACUUGUGGACUCAUCUCUUUUUUGCGGAGCUUUUCGCUUCGCCGACGAGGGAGAGGAAGGUUCGCGCGGCAGUGCGGGCCGGUGGCUGCAUCCUUCAGCUGAGGCAGUCGCGGGCGUCGCUGUAUAUUCCUGCCAUCCUUGCGUCCUCGAACAAAGGGUGGCAGCGCCGGUGGUUCUACCUCCGGAAUGACGGCGAGUUGCUCCCGCCGUUUUCCCAGCGAGUAGUCACCGUCGCCGCCGAUGCUUGGCGCCACGGGACUCCGCACGAAAGACAGAAGAACCUCGAACCCCUUCUCAAGGCCUUGGAGGCAUUGCGGAAAGGGGGACUCACCGCUGCGGGGGUGAUUGCCGCCAUCCACCGCCGGAGGGUGCUUCCCUUGGCGGAGCGACGGUUGCCGCUCUGGGAGAUGACACCGGAGGCUGACUUGGAGGGCUCGCGGAUGUCCUCGGAUCCUCUUCCCUUCGACGUUCUCCACGGGCGGGUGGCCGUCGCGUUGGGGAAACCAGACCCCAGCGCCUUCUCCCAGCCUUUGAUGCGCCUUGACCAAGGGUGCGUGACUCUGGUGAGUGUCCGCUCCUUCCUUCCUCUUGCGUCGGGUUGCUCCUGGUUUUUACGGUCGGGAUUUCCAUCCGUCUUCAAGAGGUAGGGUGGCACAAGCCUUCCCUGCCACGGGUCCCGCAGGAUGCGGUGGACCGAGCAGCGCGGCGGGUUGCCGCGGAGGAGAAGAAGAAAAAGAAGGACGCAGAGAAGGCCCGGGCCCGCGAGUGGACGCGGGCUCGAGACGCCUUGGAAAAGCUCCGUCGUCGGUAGGAGAGGGAGGGGCUCCCGAGGGAGCCGUCGCCGGAAACGCCUGAUGACGACGACAAUGAUGAAGAUGAUGACGAGGAAGACGACAUGGCUGCCCGCCUCGGCUUCAGCCCUGGCUUGAGGUUAGGCCAGGAGCCGUCAAGCCAGCCCCCGAGUGGGCUGAUGCCGUCAGUCCCUGGAGUCGGGACGCCGAGGUCCCGACCCGAAGAGCGGGGGUAGACCGAGAGGGUACUUGACCCCUUGGUUGGGGGAGUUGAGGCAACCCCGGGGAGCCAGGCCGAGGCGUCUGUUCCCCGAGAGCCGUUGCCUGUGCCGGUAGCGCAGGAGAGCAACCCUCAGGCCGCCGUGGUGGUGCCUGGGCAGCCUGCCUCCCGGGCAUCCAAAGCGCCCAAAGCAAGGGUUCUGCCGAGGCAGCCGGCGAAGCGGACCUCGGCGGCGGCUUCGGGGGUCGAGAUCCGAGAGACCUCCCCUCAGGCACGGUUGAUCAUGGCCCGGAGCGGGUAAGUAUCUUGGAGCGUCUUCGUCUCGGCUUUUCAUUCGCAUGUCCCGACCGUGAUUUUUCUUUUCUCCUCAGGAAGCGAAGCCAUGGCCUGACCGAUCUGGCUCCCCGAAAGGCCCUUAAGACGGCGUCGGCUUCCGCAACCAGCGCCGCUCCGGGCCUCGCCGUUCAGCUGACCUUCUCGCAAGGCGCUCCACAGCAGGGGGCUCAGGCGGCACCAGUCGCCGUGGAACGAGUUCCCGAGGCCGGCUCUUCUGCCAAGGCGGCCAUCGUGCUAGGGGAGGUGGCUGACGCGGACGUGGCCCAGGCCCCACCGGACGUGCCGGCGGUGCCGGCACCUGCUGCUACUGAAGCCGCUGCCGUCACAGUCGAGGAGCGACCUGUCGCUGCCGACGCUGAGACGGCCGAGGCGUCGGCGCUUGGUGCCUCGGAGGAGGGGGGCGUGGAGACGCGAUCCGUCCCGCCGAGCGGCAGCCUUGUCGCUGUGCGGCGGGGCUCCGAGGGUCGGCGCCAGUUGCUCCGGUUCCGGACCCGCGAGGCCUCGGAUCCCUUCUUCGUUCUCGACGAUGAGCGGGAGGAGCAGUCCUAGGACGAGCUCCGCGAGUGUGCCGAAGCAACGGUGGGGUCGCUCCGGUCGUCGCUGGAGGUUUUCUACAGGGACGUCCCCAAAAUCCUCCAGGUAACGGUUUCAGGCAUACCUUUUCUUUUUUGUGGCCAAGGCAUCUUUCGUGACGCCCCGCUUCCUUUCCUCAGGAUCUGACGGAUCUGAGCGCCGCCAAGUCGUCGUUCAUCCGCCACGAGGUCGACGUCUGGGGCUCGCUGCGAUCCCUGAGGACCUCGCUCGCCGGGGCUACUGCGCGCCUCUCUCAGCAGGGCGCUGAGGCGGCGGACCAUCGGUUGCUCUGCACCGAUCUGAGAGCCGAGGCGGCAGCGGCGCGCGCAGAAGUGCAACGACAACAGUCGGAGUUCGACCGGAUCGUCGAUGAGCGGGACCAAUCUCGGGGCCGGGCUGCCGAGGCCGAAAGCCGGGCUAUAGCCCUUGCAGCCGACCUAGCCGUAGCCCAGGUCGCAGCCUCGGAGCAGCGUGCCCGAGCCGAAGGUACGCCUUGGCCAUUUUCGGUUUUCGUUUCAGCUUGUUUCCUCCCCCUGUGUUUGAGAUCUUUCGUUCUGUCUAUUCGCAGAACUCGAGUCCGCCCUUGAUGAGUCCACCAAGGCGCUUGCCAGGGCGGCCAAGCAGAGGGAGGCCGACCACGUGGCCAUGUCCGAGGCCGUCUCGGACUUCUGCCGAGUCCUUGGCUCCGGCGACGUUCCCUCAGGAAGCUCCCCUCAAAGUCGCCUACAGGCCUUGGGCGAUCAUGUGCGCGGCAGACUCCGUGAGGCGCUACACCACGGCGUCAGGCGGGCCUUCGCCGUGCUCGCUUCCCACUACGUCGUGGACCUGGAGCGGGUCAGCGAGGGGUAUUGCCUUCCUGACGAAGAUGAAGCCGCCCUGGCAGAAGUCCGGAGGCUCGAUGCGGCCGUCGCGGGUCCGAGCGCAGUGCUGGCGACCACCUUCGAAGCAGAGAUCCUCCCGCCUGCGCCGUCGUCCGAAGCCGGGAUGGACUUUGCCGAGGGUGGGGACGAAACCGAAGGCGCGGCUCCUUCCCGUGGCGACGCCUAACUCUGUUGGAGCAGUUUCUGUUGGAUGCACGUGUGUCUUUCUGCGGCCGCUGAGGCCUGAACACUUUAUCACCGUUGCAUGAAGUCGCACUCCUUUCCCUUUCAUUUUGCGUGUCCGGCCCCGCCUGUCAGUAGCAGGGUGGCUUCCACAAGUAGGGGUCACUUUUCGUGGCGGGUGACGAGUGAGGUGUCCGUAACCCAGAGGCGUAGGAAUCCCUCGGCUUAGUCAACCUUGCCACUUACAUGCACCCGCGUUCGCUCCUUGGGGUCCUGCUUUCGACAUAGCCGGGGGAACGUCAAAGCCUUUUCGAUUGAAAAAUUUGACGCAGAGGGGUUUCCCCCUUUUUAGCCCCCGAGGGAGGGUCGGGCUCUGCCGAGGCAAGGCCGACCCUUCCUUAAUGACUAAAACUUGCGUGGGGGCAAGGUAAGCGAACGACUUGAAAGCAUCUUAAGGGUAGAGGCGACGUAGCUGCUAGACGUCCGAAGUGUUGGUGCAGAUCUCGCCUUGACUGUCGGCCAGUUCGUUUGUUCCGGGCUUCAGAACUUUGGCAAUGACAAGCAGCCCUUCCUAGGGGUGCGUGUAGCCCCCGGGUGUCUCCAACGAGGGCUCGGGGUGCGGUGGUGGAGCUCCUUCCCAUCGUCCAGCAAGACGAACGACUUGGCGCGCCGUGCCAACCGCCGAGCCUUAGCUCUGUCGAGGGGUAGCUCUCCUCGGCGGAGAUAUCGCAGGUACGGGGUCUGCGAGCUUCGAUUAGGCGUGACCCCGCCUCGCUCCUCCUCGACGCGCAGGGCCUCGCCCUCGGGUGCCAAGGGUGCUCCGGGCCGAGCUGAGGGUGCCUCUGGCCGUGCCGAUGAUGCCUCGGACUGAGCCGAGGGUGCCUCGGGCUCGGGCGUGUCGUCGAUUUUGAUGGAGGGUUGAUGCAGGUCUCGGGAGCAGGCCUCUGGGGGAAACGUUAUUCGCCCCGAGGCGGUACAGAGGCAGGCCCCUUUUGCCAAGGUGCGGGAUGAAAAGGCUGAGGGCCGCAAGACAUCCCAUGACUCUCUGUACGCCUUUCAAGUCCUUGAUGGGCCCUAUGCUGGUGAUGGCUGCGAUCUUCUCCGGGUUGGCUUCGAUGCCUCGCUUGGAGACGAUGAACCCCAAGAGCAUGCCUCGGGGCACCCCGAAGACAUACUUUUCGGGAUUGGGCUUAACACCUUUCGCCUCUUUGAUGAACCCUGCCGCCAUUAGCUCGUGGUCCUCCUCGCUUAUGGCUCUGCGCUUCUCCUCGUCGAAUCAGCGCAGAGGCUGCUUGACGGGUCGGGCUCCGGCUCGGAUGUCCAACGAGUGCUAUGCGACAUCCCUCGGUAUGCCGGGCAUGUCCGAGGGACUCCACGCGAAGACGUCGGCGUUCGUGCGGAGAAAGUCGACGAGCACUACUUCCUAUUUGGGAUCAAGCCCGGAGCCGAUCCGGACUUGCUUGGAGGCGUCACUGCUGGGGUCGAGGGGGACGGACUUAACCGUCUCCGCUGGCUCAAAGUUGCCGGCAUGACGCUUCACGUCUGGCACCUCCUUAGAGAGGCUCUCCAGGUCGGCGAUGAGGGCCUCGGACUCGGCGAGGGCCUCGGCGUACUCCACGCACUCCACGUCGCAUUCGAACGCGUGUUUGUACGUGGGGCCGACGGUGAUGACCCCGUUGGGGCCCGGCAUCUUGAGCUUGAGGUAGGUGUAGUUGGGGACGGCCAUGAACUUCGCGUAGCAGGGCCUCCCCAAUACCGCGUGGUAGGUUCCUCGGAACCCGACCACCUCGAACGUCAGGGUCACCCUUCGGAAGUUGGAGGGUGUUCCGAAGCAGACGGGAAGAUCGAGUUGUCCGAGGGGUUGGACGCGCUUCCCGGGGAUGAUCCCAUGGAAAGGCGCAGCGCCCGCCCGGACCGAGGACAGAUCGAUACGCAGAAGCCCGAGGGUCUCGGCGUAGAUGAUGUUGAGGCUGCUGCCUCCGUCCAUGAGGACCUUGGUGAGGCUGACGUUGCCGAUGACGGGGUCGACGAUGAGCGGGUAUUUCCCCGGGCUCGGCACAUGGUCGGGGUGGUCGGCUUGGUCGAAGGUGAUGGGCUUGUCGGACCAGUCUAGGUAGAUUGGCGCCGCCACCUUCACCGAACAGACCUCCCGGCGCUCUUGCUUGCGGUGCCGAGCCGAGGCGUUCGCCGCUUGCCCGCCGUAGAUCAUGAAGCAGUCGCGGACCUCGGGGAUCUCCUGCCUGGUGAUCUUCCUUCUUGUCGUCGUCGCGGGCCCUACCACCCUCCGUGGGUGGCCCGGCCCUGUGGAAGUGGCACCGAAGCAUGACGCACUCCUCAAGGGUGUGCUUGACGGGCCCCUGGUGAUAGGGGCACGACUCCUUGAGCAUCUUGUCGAAGAGGUUGGGACCUCCGGGGGGUUUCCGAGGGUUCUUGUACUCGGCGGCGGCGACAAGGUCCACGUCGGCGGCGUCGCGUUUCGCUUGCGACUUCUUCUUGCCCUUCUUCCUGGCGCCGCGCUGAGCUGACGCCUCGGGGGCAUCUUCCGAUGGGCGGCCCUAGGGCUGCUUGUCCUUCCGGAAGAUAGCCUCGACCGCCUCCUGGCCAGAGGCGAACUUGGUGGCGAUGUCCAUCAGCUCGCUCGCCCUGGUGGGGGUCUUGCGACCCAGCUAGCUCACCAGGUCGCGGCAGGUGGUGCCAGCGAGGAACGCGCCGAUGACAUCCGAGUCGGUGAUGUUGGGCAGCUCAGUGCGCUGCUUCGAGAAUCGCCGGAUGUAGUCCCGGAGAGACUCUCCCGGCUGCUGUUGGCAGCUUCGGAGGUCCCAGGAAUUCCCGGGGCGCACGUACAUGCCCUGGAAAUUGCCGGUGAAAGCUUGGACUAGGUCGUCCCAGUUGGAGAUCUGCCCCGGAGGCAGGUGCUCCAACCAGGCGCGAGCGGUGUCGGAGAGGAACAGGGGGAGGUUGCGGAUGAUGAGGUUGUCAUCGUCCGUUCCACCCAGUUGGUAGGCCAGACGGUAGUCCGCGAGCCACAGUUCUGGUCUCGUCUCCCCUGAGUACUUUGUGAUAGUAGUCGGGGGUCGGAACCGGGUCAGGAACAGCGCCCGUCGUAUGGCCCGGCUGAAGGCCUGCGGACCGGGUGGUUCGGGCGAGGGACUCCGAUCCUCCCCGUUGUCGUAGCGUCCCCGACGCCUGGGGUGGUACCCUCGGCGCACCCUCUCGUCGAGGUGGGCCCGACGAUCGCGGUGAUGGUGCUCGUUGUCGAGAUGACCCGGGGCCGCAGGCGCUGUGUUGCGCGUGCGCCCGGUGUAGACCGAGGCUUCCCGCAUGAAUCGGGAAGUCGCGGCAUGAUGUUCUGAGGGGUACCCCUGCCUUCGGGAGGCGGAGCUCUCGGCCCGCCGGGCCGCGGCGCCUUCCAGGAGAUCCUUGAGCUCUCCCUGGAUUCGCCGCCCCUCGGUGGUUGAUGGCUCCGGCAUCGCGCGGAGGAGCAUUGCUGCUGCAGCCAGGUUCUGGCCGACCCCACUGGAUGCGGGUGGUGGCCUGACCCUGACGUCGUCGGCGAUGCGGUGCUGGAAGCCCUGGGGUAGAUGACGCAUUUCUCCGACCGGAGGUUGGCCCGCCCAUGCCUGCCCGACGUCCCGGCGGAUUGGCUCAAGCGCUCCUGCUCCCUCGUCGAGCCUGGCCUGCACCCCACGGAUUUGCUCGAGUUGUGGGUCGUGACCCCCCGCCGGAACGGGGACCACAGCUAGCUCCCGCGGGAUGUCAACGCGAGGCACCGGCCUAGGGAGAUCACCAUCCUCCGGCAUGCCGAGAUGGUUGCCUUCGGAGGGACCCCCUAGAUCGACGUGGAAACAUUCGCGGCUCGGGCCGCAGUCCUUGUCGCCGAGGCUACGGCUACCGUCGGAACAGUCGGAAAGGCAGUAGUCGCAUGCGGUCAUGAAGUCCCGCAUGGCACUGGGGUCGCCAAGUCCGGAGAAAUCCCAACAGAAGCUGGGCUCGUCGUCUUCCUCGGACCCAGAGGGCCCGUAGGUCGAGACGUCCGUCAACCGGUCCCAAGGUGACCGCAUACGAGACCCCAGAGGGUUCGGGUUCGCCUCUACGAAAGCGUCCGCCAAAGCGGAGCCGCUAGGCGGGUCGAGGUUAAAUCCGAAAGGCGUGGGAUGGGAAUCGGUCGGUACCUCUUGGUCGAUGGGCGGUGAUGAGGUCACGUCGGGGACUGACUGCACCGUCGUCUUAGGUACGAGGGUGACACCCAGCAAGCCUUUCGCGAGCGUGCUGGCGUCGUCCGUUUGCUCGGGAUUGACGUGUCGCGGGGAGACAACGCUCGUCUUCGUCUCAAGCGCGAGGCCGAUGCCCGGCGCGCCCCCCGUUGGAGUGCUGGCGUUGUCGACUCGCUCGACGGCCGACGAGGCGCUGCCUCCUGCUUGGCCUUGGUUGCCCCGCCUCCUCCUCCUCUGUCGACGGGGAAGAGGACGGGGCGAGCUCGAAGGUUGUUCUUCCACCAAGCGGGGAAGACGUCGUCGAUCCCGCCGCCAGCGGGCGGACUGUCGGCCGCCAUUGUCGCUAUCGCCCGGCGGCGGAAAGAGUAUCAUGUCGUAGCUGUCGUCGAGGGACAUGAACUCAAGGCUCCCAAAACGGAGCACCGUCCCGGGCCGGAGAGGUUGCUGGAGACUACCCAUCUGGAGCUUGACGGGAAGCUGUUCGUCAACACGCAACAGGCCCCUACCUGGCGCGCCAACUGUCGGCGUUUCGAGACCGGGGGGUCCUUGAGCCGACGAGUGAAGUGUCGCCGCGUGCCCCAGCCCAGAUGGGUCGACGCGAGGCCGAGCGCGAAGGGGGGGAAGUGAGGUGGCCGGAGAUGGGUGUGAGAGAGGUGGAAAUCCCGUGGCCUUCGUGUUCGUCCCGCACCCAGGUCGGGUGCGCUUGCAGUAGGGGGUUACAAGCGUCCACACGGGGGAGGGAGCGAGCGACCUCACACGAGCGCCCGUCUCGUCCUCGUCCCCGUGCGGCCAACCCUCUCUAAGAGGGCCCUGGUCCUUCCUUUUAUAGGCGCAAGGAGAGGAUCCAGGUGUACAAUGGGGGGUGUAGCAGAGUGCUACGCGUCUAGCGGAGGAGAGCUAGCGCCCUAAGUACACGCCAUCGUGGCGGCCGGAGAGAUUUUGGCGCCCAGUUUGUGUGAUGUCGUGGCCGUCGGAGGAGCGCUGGAGCCUGGCGGAGGGACAGCUGUCGGGGCUGUCGAGUCCUUGCUGACGUCCUCUUGCUUCCGUAAGGGGGCCGAGAGCCGCCAUCGUCGGGGAGCGUGCGGGGCGCCAUCAUCGCCUAUCUGGCGGAGCGAGCCAGAUGGGACGCCGGUCUUGUUCCCCGUAGCCUGAGUCAGCUUGGAGUAGGGAAAUGAUGGCGCCUCCUAUUGACGUGGCCGGCCCGCGCCCUAGGUUGGGCGAUGUGGAGGCUCCUCCGAGGUCGAGGUCGAGUCCGUCUUCCGUGGCCGAGGCCGAGUCCGAGCCCCUAGGUCGGGUGAGGCGGAGGCCGUUGGCUGAGGCCAGGGCGGAAUUUGAGUCCUGGGUCGGGCGAAGCGGAGUUCGUCGUCUUCUGGGGCUGAGCCCAAGUGCGAGCCCUGGGUCGGGCGGAGCGGAGUUCGCCGUCUUCCGGGGCUUAGCCCGAGUCCGAGCCCUGGGUCGGGCGGAGCGGAGUUUGCCGUCUUCCGGGGCUUAGCCCGAGUCCGAGCCCUGGGUCGGGCGGAGCGGAGUUCGCCGUCUUCCGGGGCUUAGCCCGAGUCCGAGCCCUGGGUCGGGCAGAGCGGAGUUCGCCGUCUUCUGGGGCUUAGCCCGAGUCCGAGCCCUGGGUCGGGCGGAGCGGAGUUCGCCGUCUUCCGGGGCUUAGCCCGAGUCCGAGCCCUGGGUCGGGCGGAGCGGAGUUUCCUAUGGUGCGUGCGGCCGGGCCUGACUGCCUGUCAGCCUCACUCUGUCAAGUGGCACCGCAGUCGGAGCGGCGUAGGCGGCGCUGUCUUUCUGUCAGACCGGUCAGUGGAGCGGCGAAGUGACGGCGGUCACUUCGGCUCUGUCAGCUGAGGGGCGCGCGUCAGGAUAAAGGUGUCAGGCCACCUUUGCAUUAAAUGCUCCUGCGAUUUGGUCGGGGUUGCUUCUCGGCGAAGACAGGGCCUCGGGCGAGCCGGGAACGUGUUCGCCGCUGGAGGGGGGCCUUGGGCGAGGCGGAGAUCCUCCGGGGUCGGCUGCCCUUGUCCGAGGCUAGGCUCGAGCGAGGCGUGAUCGAGUCCCUCGAAUGGACUGAUCCCUGACUUGAUCGCACCCAUCAGGCCUUUGCAGCUUUAUGCUGAUGGGGGUUACCAGCUGAGAAUUAGGAGCCUUGAGGGUACCCCUAAUUAUGGUCCCCGACAUAUAUAUAUAUAGAGUUGUUUGCUAACGGUCCAUCACCUGCAUCGAAUGGUGGGGUUGAACCAACCAGACACGUUGUGAAGGAUGGCCCACGUUCUGUUAUGUAAAAUUUAUCCAAUAUUUAUACAUGCAUAAAAGCAUCAGGCCAUCUGGGUCAUCGGGCUCGUAUACAUAUCCUGGCCGGGGCUCCCCCACGCCUAUCGAAAGCCCAGGGCUCCCAUUACCAACAACCUAUAUAUAUAAUUGUUUGUUAAUUGUCACCUUAUUAGAUAUGUGUGCCCGUGCGUUGCCACGAGAGUUAAAAAUUUGUAUAAAACAUAUAUAUGUAACGAUAACUGUCACUAUGAUAUAAAAAAUCCGUGUAGCAAAAUAUCACCUUAACACUAAUAUUAUAUUCUAAAUAUAGACUGAAUGCUUUGGUAUAUAUUCACAGUCGAAGAUUUAACUGGGAAAACUUGAUUAAUCAUUCACUGAUCAGAUGCAACUGAGAACACAACAAGAACCCAAUUUAGAAAGACGAGAAAGAACCAAAUGCACACGAUUCAGCUCGUCCUUCUGAAUUGAACAUCCAUCAAAGCUAGCAUAACAUAGCUAUAUACAUUUAUAAGUAGGUUAAAAUAGAUCAAGCAAUCUGGGAGAUAAAUAAUGUACUCCUGUAAGUAGCUAACACGACAUUUGGUAUAAGUUUCAUAUCCUUACUUUUCACAUAUGAGCAUUCAUAUCUGCUAGUUAUAAGCAGCAUGUUGUAAAAGUGUUGUGAAAAUGAUUGAGUAAAUUUGACUGUGGUUGAUAGUUAGUCACCAUUUUCUAUAUAUUGUGCACAAAGAGAAGUAUGCCUAAGAAACAUGGUAUAUUUAUUAAAAAAAACUUGACCAACAUAGAAGAGUUUUUAAUUAAGAACACAUACAAAAAAUUGCCUCGACAAUGACUUGGACUUGAGGGAUCGGGUGUGGGCGUACAUGCAUACUGUCGAUCAACUGAGCUUUCUUCAAAUUUUCAUUUUAAUUAAGAACACAUGCAAAAAUUUGCCUCGACAAGAACGCAUGCAGCGUGAGCGGAGGGAGCCACAGGGCCUAGCUUCGGAGGCUAGUUGCAUGCUUGCAUGCAGCAUGAGUGGAUGAGGGGGACACCCGUAGCUUGCAUAAUUGCAUGCUUGCAUGCCGUGUGAGUGGGAGAGUAGGUGCAUGGUGAGCGGGGGCACGUUUUAGUCUACAUUACCUUCUUAAUAGUUAGUAUAAGUAGAGAGAUGAUAAGUUCAACGGUCCAUCACCUGCAUCGAAUGGUGGGGUUUCUAACCAGACACGUGUAUGUAACUCGAUUGGAUAUGUUGGGUACGUGGAGUGUAUAUGAUAGAUUAUUCACUCUAGAUGACAAAUAGUGGAGAGAGAGAGUAGGCGAGUGCGCGUGCGUGAGUGUGCAUUUUUUGCGCGCUGUUCUUUUCUCCUUUUUCUGUCUAGAUUCGGAAGAUGGAAAAGAAGUGAACAAAACCGCAAGAUCAGAUCACGUACGCGAUUUUGAGCAGUAGUACAUUGCAACAAUGUCUGUGGAUAGGGGGUGCGAGCUAGGAACGUCGUUGGUUGUGCCCUGGCCACUGAGCAUCAAGGAAACGAAUUUCCUUUCUUUGUUAAGACUUAAGAUACACACCGUACGUACCGUGGACGCCUCUUUUGGCUUUUGGUUUUGUUUUAUGUGGACAUGAAGGAACCACAAGCACCGAUGACCCCAAAUAAACCUUAACAUCUGCAAUAAAGUAAUGGUCCGGGCGUGCAAGAAUCGUGUAGCUAACUAACCUAGCCUAUAUUAUUGCAGCCGGUGUGGCAAACCGAGAGCACUCGCGGUGAUCAAGAGGUCAAAAAAUGCCGCUCUCUUUACGAACAUUCCUUUUUCGCGAAAGGCAUACCCCUUGGCCCUUUCGACGUACGUGGAGGCUUCUGCACAUCAUAUCGAGCCAUACUCUAUGGAUGGAUGUUGGAUGAGUUCUCUGGUUAAUUCUUCAGAGCUUUUCUUUUUUUUUCUUGUGCAGCAAACAGUUUUCCUUUUUGACAAAAUGGAGUGUCGGCAGGCGCAGAAACGAAACGGCAGUGCAGAGUUGAAGUUGAGGAUUUUCCACGCAUUUCUUCAAGGGAGUCGGCCUCCUGUCCCCUCCCUCCCUGUCCCUGCCCCCUGGUAAUGUGUGGAUGUUUCUGUCACCGCUUUUACUUUGACUUUCUGAUCCGACCGGAGUGCUCGUGCGGUUCCCAAAAGCUCGUGAUCUUCUUGCGCUUCGUUGAUGGCCACCUUUGUUAGAGCAACUCCAAUAAUUUUCUAAAAAUAGCUUGCUAAAAUCAUAUUUAGCAAGGUGCUAAAUAGCUAUUGAAAGUAAAAAAUAGAUUAGUCUCCAAUAGUUACUCAUAUUUAGGAAGUAGUUCGAUUUUGAAUCUAGCUUUAGCGGCCCUGACCCUAUGAGAUCUGCCUGACAAUAAGGUUGAGAGCACAGGAUGUGAUGGCAGAAGAGAAAAGGCCGGUCGAUAUGAACUAUGGAGGAGUGGUGGUCCGGUGACUCAACCUAUGAGGAAGUUGGGUUCAACGGUGAAGGAGAAACUUGUGCAGUUGUGCACACAUGUUUGACCUAGCUACCUCAUUAUGCUAGAAAGUGAAAAAAGAGUGUGAUAUACCUGGCUACCUCACUGUGUAGGAAAUAAAAAAAAUAAUCACGCUAGUGUGAAGAAAUUGAUGUCAACUGCAUUUAGGGAGUUUCUACCGAGUUGCUAAAUGUGGAGAGUAAAUAGAGUUGAAUAGCAACUAAAUAAAUUUAGCAAGUCUAUUUAGAGAACCAUUGGAGAAACAUUUUUCUGUGCAUUUCUUAAAUUUAAGAUUUAGAGAGUUGUUUUGAGAACUAUUAAAGUUGCUCUUAGUACUACUGCAGUUCCUUUUCGUAUAUUUUACCUCUUUUUUUUACCGACCCGUGAAACCCGUGACAUGGUUGGUAAUUGACGCUAGUACCCAAUCACGUUAAUGCGUGACAGUAAAAAAACCCACUACACCACUAUAAACUAUGCAAAGUAAAUAAGCUCCUUUCUAGGAGUGCUGCGUCACUUCAAAUUAAAUUAUUGAACGAAUGAAAUAUAUUACACGGUCUUUGCCAUUAAGUUAAUAAAGUGGAUGAUUUCCUCGUCAUUUCCACCUUCUUAAAAUAGACUCUAUCUUUGCUAUCAAACGACACAUACUCAGUCUAGGUGGGUUUGCCAAGCCUCAACAAAUUAGAGUUACCUGGACUUCAACAGUUCAUUAAGCACACCCACUGAAAAAAGAUCAUUUCAAUGGGAAAGGGUGGCUCUCCCUUUUAAGGUGACUUCAUCCUCCCAAAUUAAACGAGGUUGGAUAAUUCAGAGGCUCACACGGUCGCCGUCCGACUACAAAUGAGCCAAUUGGGACAAUUGUGUAUUUGUCAAUAGGUAAUAGUUGAGGAUGUACUCAUCAAAAGCUUCUUUUCUUACAUUCACAGAUGAUAACCCAUGUGUGACCGACUUGUUGCUAGUUAUCCUAAAGGAGGCACAAAGCAUGUCAUAACUCCUUUUCACAUCUCUAGCCAUUAUUUGCAUAGAGUCUAUGCUUUUCUUUCUAAGUUUAGCACGAUCCGAUUGAGAAUAUCUAGCUAAAUCUCAUUCAUUUGGCUUGAGUUAGGAGCAACAUAUGAAGCCGAAUUGUGAUUAUUUCCAUUAUCAUAGGUCGCCGAAUUUUUAUUAAUUUCGCUAGAGCUAGAGGUAGCAUAUAGUGAGUCAAAUUAUGAGCAUGAGCCUUUACAUAUAUGAUGCUAAAUUUAUAGGUGGAACCUCUACUCUAUUACCAUAUUAUGCAUCAUAUAAAAAUUGAGAGUGAGUGGUUGAAUAAUUAGCAUCACCAUAGCCAAUUCUUUCAUUCGUAGAUAUGUCUUGUUUUGGAACCACAUAUUGUAUAUUUAUAGUUGAUGAAUAAUGAUAUGCAUGUUAUAUGUUGCUAGUAGCAUUAAAACCCAUAAAAUUCAUAGUUGAUAUCGACUCGUGAACAUGAUACCCAACAUUAUUAUGAUGUUUAGAAUAACGACUAUUAUCAACAUAAUAAUUAUCUGAUGCAAUAGAUCUACUAUUGUUAUGACUAGCAACAUCAACAUGAGAAUUCAUAUGACUUGCAAAAAUAAUUAUUGGAUCACAUGAUACAUUUGCAAGUCAUAUGCCUCACGGUAACUCCAUGAGCAAUAAUCUGACCAUCUUACUAAUUUUUAUAGUAACACCUUGCACAAUAGUAAGCAAGAUCACAAGGUGGGGUCAAAACAAGACGCGAUCAACAGGGGCGAAGCCAGGAUCCAAAAUUAGGGGAGACUAAAUUAGAUUAGGGGGACUGUUAGAAGUAUUUUUUGCACUAUUUAUAUGAGAAUUAGCUAAAAAACUAGCAUGUGCUAUAGAAUUAGGGGAGCAUUAGGGGGGACAUUGCCCCAUGUGCCUCCCUGUCGUCGCCCCUGGCGAUAAACCUUUUGGGCCAAAUGCAAUGGUAAUAGCGAGUACAAGAAGGACGAAGAAUAUAAGUAUGUAAAGAUAUUUAUAUAUAUAGUAGAGUCAAAGCAUCCCAUCCCCAUUAGAGUUACUAAGAAGUGCGUUGAUGCCAAAUUGGACCAUACACCAGUUAGGCUCUGUGGGGGACAGAUGUCCCCCGAGUCCACUGGAAGGAUAAAAGACCUCACGAAAGGCCCAAGGGUCCAAUAAGUCGUAAGGUCAUCCUUUCGUGGGUCUAGGGGAGGAACAACCAGUGAAGCAGAUUGACAUAAGGUUGGAUCGGAGCAAGCUCAGACGGCCCAAUGAUCUCGAGCGAGUAAUCACAACAGAGACCCGAUCUUCCCGCGCUGGAGGCCCGUACAACGAGCCGAGCGAAGAUGGGUCGGCAGAACUAUAGGAAGAUAGACUCAAUCGGUUUACUAUCUCUUAGGUGCACGUAAUUAUCAUAUCAGCAUGUAUUGCCCCACGAUCGAGUAUAUAAGGCCUAGGGGGCACCGCUUCAGAAGGAAUCGAACCCACUACUUAGCCAUCCAACCCAGCUUCCUACACAUUAGAGAAUCACCUUGUAACCCAUCAUAUACAACACUCUCGCCAGGACGUAGGGUGUUACGCACUCCAAAGCGGCCCGAACCUGUAAAUCAUUGUCUACCGUCUCUCGUGCUACUAGCACGAACCAUUGAGCUACAGCUGAUAACACCGUCCUACUUCAAAAAACACCUUGAGGGGCAACCCCGGGUGUGCGGUCGGACCCAAAACACCGACAGCUGGCGCGUCAGGUAGGGGGUGUGUCGUCGAUCCAAGCUAGCUCAAUGGCCAUCACCUUCCUGCACAAGAUCAUCUUCCGCCCUGGGUCCACAUUCUGCUUCGGAACCAUCUCAGCUGUAGCGGAAGAGGAGGGAACUCUACAUCGCAUUGCGGACCUGACGGAGAGAAGAUCUUCCUCAAAAAUCUCCAUGAAAAUCGGGGAAAAGCAGGAAAAGGCGCAACCUCCAAUGCUCCAAAAAAGGAUCGCCUCCGGCAGGACAGAGGCUCGAGGCCCGCCAACUCGGAAAACUCCAUUGUCUACCUCUCCGACGGAAGAAUGGACGCAAAUCACAAGAAAGAAAGAAACAAAUAAAAUCGGGAGGAAGCAAGUCGUUCUUUCUGCGCCUCCGCCCUCAAAGGAGAACAGAAAGAAAAUCGUCACGACAACUAUAUCAUUCUACCUCGACGUCCUCUUCAUCGGGAGAGCGGAGUCGCCCCCAUCUCCGACGAUGAGCCGACUGUACCCGGAGAGGAACCUCCUCAGUGGGAAUCCCGCCGACGAAGGAACCGACGUCGAAAUAUCCGGAGACACCACGAGGCCAGAGAGCGGGACCCGGUGCAGCCUGUGUCGUGAGACGAGGCCUCAGAGAUGGGAGAAACCCCGGAAGAGUGUGUCUUCCGGGAAAGGAGGAAUUCCCGACGACGCGAUCACCGACGAGCUCAAGAACAGGCCGAACAGGAAACUAAGCAACGUCGGGAAAAUCUUCUCUUCGGGCGCAACCUGAACCCCGACUUCGCCCGAGCCUUGAACACGCCAAGUGAAGUCGGCGGAGUACUGGCCGACGGUCUCCCUCGGACUCCCGAUGUCGAGGGCUACCGGCGACUGUUCACUCGAGCGGCCAUCCACCUUCUACCUCUCGCGCAUCCGCCGAAUGAUCUAUGACAUACCAUCAACAGUCAGUGGGACGCACGGAGCUCCAUCAACGCUUCACGCGAACGAUGACAUGAGAGCGAGAUCCGUCGCCGGGAAGAAUAUGACAGGGAUCACGACAUCCCAACCCGGAGUCAGGCCAACAGGACCGAUUCGGCAACGGCUUCGACUGGCGGCACCACCUAGGGACGGUCGAAGCACCACGACAACCACUCCCCUCCCUGGGACAGACAUUAUCCUCGACGACAGGAGGACACGUGUGGAGUGUCGGCACUUACUCCGCGCCUCAGAGCCAUUCAAUGGCCCCCUAACUUCAAGGUAUCCAACGUUGACAAAUAUGAGCCUAAGCAGGAUCCGGGAGGCUGGCUGGCCGUCUACACUACCGCUGCCCGAGCCGCCGGGGCGACCGAGGACGUGAUGACCGCGUACUUGCCCAUCGUCCUCGGGCAAGAUGCACUGCAAUGGCUGCGACACCUUCCACGACAUUGCAUCGAUGAUUGGAGCGAUUUCAGUCGACGCUUCAUCGCCAACUUCCAGUCCCUCUCCGACAAGCCGGCGCAACCAUGGGACCUCAAAUCCAUCAAGCACCGGGGGGACAAAACUCUCAGGUCAUACCUCAAAAGGUUCCAGACCAUGAGAAAUCGUAUCCCUAAGGUCGCGGAGGCAGCAGUAAUCGAGGACUUCUACAGAGGCUCCGACGACGCGGCCUUCGUCCGCGCCAUAUUACAGAAAGCACCAACUACCUCCGAGCAGCUAUUCAAGGAAGCCGACCUCUACAUCACUGCCGACGAACGGGCUCGGGACCUCAUCAGAGGAGCGAAGCCAGCACCGACCGCGCCACGACGCGACACGAACCAAUAGCCCGACAAGCGCUGGGAGAAGAGGCCUUGCGAAGAAGUUCACGCCGCCGGACCACCCGCCUCUCGCGCCCGGGGAGGACCUCGUGGAGGCGAACGUACGCUGGACGACAUCCUCGACACCCAGUGCCCGUACCACAAGGACAUGCGCCACACCCUUCGGAACUGCAGAGACUUCAAGCACUCCGUUGGGCACGACCGACCUUUCCAGCCUCUACCUCCUCCUCCGCCACGGGGAGGACCAGAACCGCGAUAACCCCAGCAACAGGAGGAGGGAGGAGAUGGAGCCUUCCCGCGCGUCGACAGAGAGGUCAACGUCAUCUUCGGCGGACAUGGAUCACAGGAGAACAAGAGACAACAAAAACUCAACGAUCGCCAAAUAUUGGUAGCGACCACCGGUCCUCCCGCUCCGUACCGAUGGUCGGAGCACCCAAUCACUUUCACUCGGGCAGAUCAGUGGCUCAACUUCGACCACCCGGGCAAAUACCCGCUCCUCGUUGAUCCGGUGAUCUGAGAGAGUCGGGUGAAGAAGGUACUAGUGGACGAGGGGAGCAGCAUCAACGUCACCUUCCCCCGGACGCUUCAAGGAUUGGGAGUUCACCUCAAAGAGCUCCACGAGUCCGAUACUCCUUUCUUUGGCAUUGUGCCGACCGAAGGAGAAUACCCGCUGGGCCACAUCUACAUGCCGGUCACCUUCGAAACUAUGGAGAACUACAGAACCGAGUUCCUGAGGUUUGAGGUGGCGAACUUCGACUGCGGGUACAACGCCAUCAUCGGGAGGCCUAGAUUGGCGAAAUUCAUGGCCAUUCCCCAUUACACCUACAUGAUACUGAAGAUGCCAGGGCCGCAGGGGAUCAUAACUGUGCGCGCUGACUUCCAAGGCGCCACAGAAUGUUUCCGGGUGGCCAUCCAGGCGGCCCUCACCACCAAACCGUCGGCGACUUCUUCUACGCAGGCAAACUCUAAGCCUGAAGAAAACCUCGCGGUACCUGCGAACGAGGCUCAAGCUGCGACCUCUAUGCGGCCGACUGAAGAAACUAAAAGGAUCAACCUCGGGUUCGCUGAUGAACGCAAGACUGCCAUCAUCAGCUCCAGCCUGGAUGACAAAUAGGAAAACGCGCUCGUCCGGUUCCUGCAAGAUAACCGAGAUGUAUUCGCAUGGCAACCUGCGGAUAUGCCGGGAGUCUCGAGAGAACUGGCUGAGCACAAACUGAAGGUCUACCCCCAGGCGAGGCCGAUUCGGCAAAAAUUACGUCGUUUCACGCCCGACAAGAGAGAAGCCAUUCGCGCUGAGCUGGCUCGCUUGGUCGCGGCCGGGUUUAUUAGAGAAGUGUUACAUAUCGAGUGGCUGGCUAACCCUGUUCUUGUACUCAAAAAGAAUAAGGUGGAUUGGCGCAUGUGCGUCGACUAUACGGAUCUUAGCAAACACUGUCCAAAGGAUCCCUUUGGGCUCCCCAGGAUAGAUCAGGUGGUAGAUUCCACCGCUGGAUGUUCUAUGCUGUCCUUCUUGGAUUGCUACUCUGGAUAUCACCAGAUUAGCUUGGCGAAAGAAGACGAGGAAAAAACGGCGUUCAUCACUCCAUUCGGUGCUUUCUGCUAUACCUCCAUGCCGUUCGACCUCAAAAACGCUGGAGCGACUUAUCAGAGAGCUAUUCAAACAUGCUAAGCCGAUCACUGGGGCAAGCGUGUGGAAGCUUAUGUGGACGACGUGGUAAUCAAAACAGAAAAUUCAGAAAAUUUCAUCAAAGAUUUACAACUGGUUUUCAACAGUCUACGACAAUAUCGAUGGAAGCUUAAUCUCGAAAAAUGUGUCUUCGGGGUACCAGCAGGAAAGUUACUUGGGUUCAUUGUCAGCCACCGAGAAAUCGAGGCCAACCUAGGAAAGAUCGAGGCUAUUAUGAGGAUGGAGGCACCACGGUCGCAGAAGAAAGUGCAAAGACUCACAGGAUGCAUGGCAGCUUUGAGCAGAUUCAUAUCGAGGCUGGGAGAAAAAGGCUUACCAUUUUAUAAGUUGCUCAAGGAGGUAGACAAAUUUCAAUGGACUCCAGAGGCACAGGAGGCUCUAGAGGCACUGAAAAAAUUCUUGACAACGCCACCAGUGCUGAAACCGCCGCGUCGAGCCACGCCAACUCAACCAGCUGAAGAUUUACUGCUAUAUAUCUCUUGCACGACUCACAUGGUGAGCACCGCGUUAGUAGUCGAGCGAGCAGAAGAAGGACAUGCUUAUCCAGUGCAAUAUCCUGUUUAUUUCAUCAGCGAAGUUCUGGGUCCCUCGAAGAAAAAAUACCCUCAAGUUCAGAAACUAUUAUAUGCAGUACUUCUAACUGCACGCAAGCUCCGUCACUACUUCGACGACCACAAAGUCGUAGUAGUCACUGGUUUUCCAAUAGGGGACAUUCUUCACAACAAAGAAGCCAUCGGGAGAAUAGCCAAAUGGGCCUGCGAGCUGGGAUCUCACGACAUUGAAUUUCGACCUCGCACUGCCAUCAAAACUAAAGCACAGGUUGACUUUGUAUCGGAGUCGACCGAACAACAAGUACCAGAUAACCCAGAAACUGCAGAAGUAUGGCGAAUGUAUUUUGAUGGCUCAUUAAAGCUGCAGGGAGCGGGCACAGGGAUCCUCUUUACUGCACCUGGAGGCGAACACCUCAGAUAUGCCCUACAGUUGUUAUUUCCAGCGUCUAACAAUGCAGCAGAAUAUGAAGCUCUGACUCACGGACUGAACAUUGCUAUAUCAUUGGGCAUCAAGAGAUUGAUGGUAUACGUGGAUUCUAUGGUGGUAAUAAGUCAGAUAAACAAAGAAUGGGAUUGCUCGAACGAUUCCAUGAGAAAAUACUGCACCGCCGUCCGGAAAUUAGAAGAUAAAUUUGAAGGUCUGGAAUUUCACCAUGUGGAGAGAGAUCAAAACACGGCGGCUGACAUGUUGUCCAAGCUAGGGUCCAGUCGGACUCAAGUCCCGCCUGGAGAAUUUAUCCAAGAGAUAUCACACCCAAGCAUCUCACCGGGUCAGGCAGAGGAAUGUAAUACUUUGAGCCAACCAGAGUCAGAUUCUGAUGACUGGAGAAGGCCGAUCAUCAGGUAUAUAAAAAAUGAGGAGGAGCCAGACGACAAGAAUGCAGCCGAGCGCAUCGCAAGGCAAUCGGCUCACUAUACACUCAUUGGGGAAACACUAUACAGAAGGGGUGCAUCAGGAGUCCUCAUGAAAUGCAUUCUCUCAGCUACUGGAAAGCAACUUCUGGACGAGGUCCAUGCAGGGCAGUGUGUUGUGCACGCAGCGUCCAGAACCCUGGUCGGGAAGGUCUUCAGGUCAGGUUUCUAUUGGCCAACAGCGAAGAGUGACGCAACCGAGUUAGUCCAGAGGUGCGAAGCCUGCCAGUACCUGUCAAAACAGCAGCAUCUACCAGCACAGCAACUGCAAACGAUACCCAUAACUUGGUCGUUCGCGUGCUGGGGACUGGAUAUGAUUGGACCUUUCAAGAAAGCUCAGGGAGGAUACACUCAUGUGCUGGUGGCUAUCGACAAAUUCACUAAAUGGAUAGAGUUCAAACCCAUUGCUUCCUUAACUUCAGCCAAGGCGAUGGAGUUCAUACAAGACAUAAUAUUCAGAUUUGGAAUACCGAAUAGUAUCAUAACUGACUUGGGAUCCAACUUCACAAGUUCAGAGUUCUUUGAUUUCUGUGAGCGGAAAAGCAUUCAGAUCAAAUACGCUUCGGUGGCACACCCAAGAGCCAACGGGCAGGUUGAAAGAGCUAACGGGAUGAUAUUGGAGGCCCUCAGGAAAAAAGUCUUCGAUAAAAAUGAAAAGUUUGCAGGGAAAUGGAUAAGGGAGUUGCCCUACGUCGUUUGGAGCUUAAGAACUCAACCCAGUCGAGCUCUGCAUGGAAAUACCCCUUUCUUCAUGGUCUAUGAUUCAGAGGCUGUGCUACCUGUUGAUCUCAAGUUUGGGGCGCCAAGGUUGAUCUUUGAAAACAUAGCAGAAGCCAAGGCUACUAGGCUGGAGGAUGUUGAUGUACUCGAAGAAGAACGGCUGAACACGGUAAUUCAAUCAGCACGGUACCAGCAAACCCUGAGGCGCUAUCACGAUAAGACCAUGAGACAUCGAUCCUUCGCAGUGGGAGAUCUCGUCCUCCGCCGAAUUUUAACGGGGGAGGGGCGGCACAAGUUGUCACCUCUAUGGGAAGGACCAUUCAUAGUAGCAGAAGUCACUCGGCCAGGAUCAUAUCGUCUCACGCAGAUGGAUGGCACGGAAAUCGGGAACUCAUGGAACAUAGAACACCUUAGGAAGUUUUACCCCUAGCUGUAUUCCAAAAGCUAUUGGGACGACAAUGUACUCUGUAAAGUGGGAAAUAUAUCAUCAAUAAGAAGACUUCAAGAGCGCUCAAAUUGUUCAUUGUCGACCUGCAUUCUUACUUAACUCAGGGUUACCACUAUGCCCUGCUAACGGAGCAAUCGACUUAAGUCGGCGACGACUUAAGACGGUGCGACAUGCUCACACUUACUUGACUCAGGGUGACCACUAUGCCCUGCUAAUGGAGCAAUCGGCUUAAGUCGGCGACGACUUAAGACGGUGCGACAUGCUCACGCUUACUUGACUCAGGGUGACCACUAUGCCCUGCUAACGGAGCAAUCGACUUAAGUCGGUGACGACUUAAGACGGUGCGACAUGCUCACGCUUACUUAACUCAGGGUGACCACUAUGCCCUGCUAACGGAGCAAUCGGCUUAAGUCAGCGACGACUUAAGACGGUGCGACAUGCUCACGCUUACUUAACUCAGGGUGACCACUAUGCCCUGCUAACGGAGCAAUCGGCUUAAGUUGGCGACGACUUAAGACGGUGCGACAUGCUCACGCUUACUUAACUCAGGGUGACCACUAUGCCCUGCUAACGGAGCAAUCGGCUUAAGUCGGCGACAACUUAAGACGGUGCGACAUGCUCACGUUUACUUAACUUGGGGUGACCACUAUGCCGCACCAACAGAGCAAUCGGUUGGAAGCUGAUACUAACUCAAAACGGCGCGACACACUCAGCGCGUAUACGGUUACUCAUCCAGAGGUGGCCUCUAUGUCCCAUGAAGAGAUCUCGAAACCAUCACACUUCAUUUUACUUCUACAAAUAUAGAUACGGUUGAAUUCUAAACAAUAUGAGAAUGAUAGUAGCAUUCAAUACUAAGAAGGUGUCCUCUAACAAAAUAUCUGAGCACGCUAAACGCGCGUUCAAAGCAUACAAUGUUUUUCUAUUCUGCAACAUUCUUCUCAGGAGCAACCGACGAAGAAGGACGACUGGAGGAAUCAGGAGCAGCGUUCACAUCUGCCACUAUGUCGUCUGGGACAAUCACACCAGGUCUCCUCAUCAGAAUCCGCCCCGCGCGAAUAGCUUUAUCCAUAGCUUUAUCGCGCUGGGCCCUCAGAGUAGCGGAAGUCUCUUCAGCAACCUUGACAACCAACUGAGCGGUCUCUAGCUCCUGGGCGACAGAUUUCUUGGAAGCACGCAGAUUCUUGAUGACAACAUCUUUGGCCAAUAUCAACUCCCUGAGGCGAAUCACAUCAUCCAAGGAUUCCUGCAGCUUAUAACGAAGAUUGUCUAACUCCUCCCUGGUAAAGCGAUGACUCCUCUCCAAGAUGGUCAGCGAGUUGCUAGAGUCACGAUACAACCCGUCAAGAUUGUCGCGAGAAGUAACAAGGGCACGUUUUUCUUCCUGCAAGCAAGAAUCAGCUCUUUCAGACGUCAAGCAAGUAAUAAAAGCACAUCAAAACAAAACCCGGAUUCACAGGUCACCUUCUCAGAGUCAAGCUGAGCGCGGAGAGUAGAGUUCAGCGUGUUGGCGUCAUUCAGAGAAGCAGAGACCUGGGCCAGCUCUGUCUGACUUUGGGAAUACUUUUCCUCAAGAUCAGAACACCGCCGGACCAGUUCAGCUUGGUCUUGAGAGCGUUUUUCCUCAAGAGCAGAAUACUGUCGAGUCAUAUCUAGCGAGAAGCAAUCAAGCAAAGGUGUUAAAAUAAGAAGCAGUUUGAUAAGGUAGCCAGAAGGAAGCAAAAGAGCACUGACCAGCAUUCGCCGCCUCUAAGUCAGAAACACGCCGCUGAAGCAGCACCGGAUUCCAACGCGCCAGAGACAAAGCUCCUUCCGGGACAGAAGCACCCUGCAACCUCAGCCGACUAGACAUCUCAUCGACCAACGCCUGGCAUUAAAAAGCAGACUAGCAUGAGAAUAAUUACCUGCUUGGGUAAAAGUCAGAUCAGAAGAAACCAAAAUACCUGGAAGUUGGAGAAGAAGGAAGCGACUCCCAAAUUGUGAGAGAUCAACUGAUGGCUCGGCAAAGGAUCACCACUUGGAGCAACUUGCAACGAUUCAGCAGGGACCAAUUCAGUGACAUCAGCAGAACCCAAGACCUUGUCAUCAGGUGCGCUGGCCUCUAAAGCGACCCCCUAACCAAAGGCUUGGGCUGUUACCAUGCAACCAGAGUGUGGAGGAGAGGACCCUACAUGAACAUCCAUGGAAGUGCAAGAGGGAGAACCCGCUCGGACACCCUCGGGGGCUGGAUCAUAGCUGGCACUACCCAUCCGAGCCGGAUCAUCUCCGGCAGCACCCUCGGGGGCUGGGUAGUAGCUGGCACUAUCCAUUUGAGCCGGACCAUCUCCGGCAGCACCCUCGGGGGCUGGGUAAAGGCCAGCACCGUCAUUGAGGGCCGAGUUCUCUGCAGCAGCCAUCUCUAAGGUUGAAGGUCCCUCAGCCACUUCCAUGGGAGCAGGGAAAUCCAAACCAGCCUCCCGACCCUCGAGACCGCACUCCAAGGUCGACGAGGCGCGGGACGCUGCCCGGGAGGACCCCAACCCGGCGUCGAGCACAUCAACAUGAACAUCCAUCGCGCCACCAUCUGCCGGUUCUGAUAGCAGAUCUUCUGGAAUCAUGUCCUCGAGAGCCUGAUCAAAGUUCGCCAGAGACAAUUCUUGCAGACCAAUGAGGGCAGAUAAGGCCGGAGAAGGAACACCGCUACUUUCCCCACUAGCAGCGUAACGACAGCUGUUUUUCCGAAUCAGGGGGAUUUCAUCUUCUUCUUCACCGUUAUCAUCAGCAAGGCGGACAGUACACCCAUUGGGAUCAGCUUUAGUGAAUUCAGGCACUGGCACUUCCUCGGCAACAGGAGCAGAAGGACCGACAUCUUGAUCCAAGCUAGACACCUGACGAAGGCGUCUCUUCUUCUUUUUCUCCCCCUCAGCAGGAAAAGAGGCUUGGUCAACUCGGCGAGAACGUUUUGGACGAACAUUGACAGGCUUCUGAGCGUCCAAGGCUUUGUCAGCUUCAGGGAUGGGUACCACCACCAAUGUUUCAGCAGGAGCAGCAUCAGAAGAAUCCCCAGCCAACAUAUCCAGCAUGGCACCUAUCUCCGCAUCACUGGGAUCCAAGGGCACUUCAAAGUGGACCUGCCAUUCGUCAUCAGGAAUUUCUCCAAGCAAAGCAACCAAAGCACUAACUUCUUCGGCAGAGGGUCGCACUCUAAGGCCCAAACCGCCAUCAGCAGAAGGAGGACUCGACACGAAAUAAGUAAAGGCUUUGGAAGGAGGCAGGUUCCAGGUCGAGUAUGCAACAGGGGCGCCAACGUUUGAUACCUUGCCUCUAAGUAUCAUUUCAAGCCGGUUCACCAAGUCCAGAGCAGGGAUUCUUCUAUUGGUGACCCGGGUUGAGUCAGCUAGACCUCGAUACAGAUAGGCCGGGUAUGCCCUGUCCUUCAGUGGCUGAAUAUUCUUGAAGACAAAGUCAGCAACCACAGCCUCGGCAGUCAUACCCCUCUCCUUCAGCAAUCCAACUUCAGCUAGCAGAGCCCCUGCUUCAGCCACCUCCUGGUCUGUGGGGGACUCGGUCCAACUCGGAGUACGAACAUCCGGCUGUCUCCCUGACCGUGGUGGGAGGGAAUUCCCAUGAUUUUCCACGAUAAACCACUCCAAGCGCCAUCCUUUGAUGCUGUCUUUGAGUGGGAUGUCAAGAUAAUCGGUUUUCCUCCCGCGGCGCAUCUCCAAGCUCGCGCCCCCUACCAGUUGGUGCUGACCUCCGGCCAUCCCAGGGCGACAGUGAUACAAAUAUUUCCACAGGCCAAAAUGCGACAGAACGCCAAGAAAAGCCUCACAUAAAUGAACAAAAAUAGAGAUUUGCAGAAUGGAAUUGGGGUUUAGAUGAGUCAAAUUCAGGUGAUAGAAAUCAAGGAGACCGCGGAAAAAGGGAGAAAUAGGAAGAGCAAGACCGCGGAGGAGGAAUGGAACAUAAACAACAGAUUCAUGAGUGUCUUCUGUUGGAACAGUGACCCCACAGCAGAUCCUCCAGGAACAGAGUUCUUUCGGAGGAAGAACUCCGAUGGACACAAGAUGGAGAAGGUCAGACUCAGAAACAACAGACAUAUGGUUACCUGCGAAAGGCAACUGACUGUUGGGGUCGAUGGGGGGAAUGACAGCAGCGGACGAACUCGAAGCUUUCCGCUUAGGCGCCAUCUCAACCUCGCCGGCGAGGAGAGCAGAAGCAGAAUUGCAAAUCGGCAGAGAGGAUCUGGAAGCAGGAAAGCAAGAACUAGGGCACAGAAUGUGGAGACGCGGAACAGUGCAGUACAUAUAGGGUUUUCCCGGGCCAGAUGCCGUUUCCAAAAGGUGCCCAGUCAUCACCCAGCGGUUAUUUCUAAAACCGCUGGCGUGCCACGUCAUCACUCAGCUGCUAUUUCUAAAAAAGCCGGCGUGCCAUGUCAUCACUCGGCCGUUGUUUCCAAAACGACCGACACAGCCCAAAUUGACUCAGCCGUGGUUUCUAAAAACGUUGACAAUACCUGACUUCACUCGGUUGUUACCUCUAAAACACCGACGUCGCCGUCAGUCACUCGGUCGUUACUUCUAAAACACCGACGUUGCCAUCAGUCACUCGGCCGUUGCCUCUAAAACGCCGAUGCUGCCGUCAGUCACUCGGCCGUUACUUCUAAAACGCCGACGUUGCCAUCAGUCACUCGGCCGUUGCCUUUAAAAUGCCGAUGCUGCCGUCAGUCGCUCGGCUGUUACCUCUAUAACGCCGACGCCACCAUCAAUCACUCGGCCGUUGCCUCUACAACGCUGGUAUCAACAGUAACCACUCGACCGUUAAUUCUAAAAACACCAACGUGGCCCCGCCAUCAUUCGGAUGCUAGUUCAGAAGCGCUAAUGUCGUCGAUAAUAACUCAGCCCCUGUUUCUAAGACACCAUCAUCGCAGGAAGCAAAGAAAUUAACACAGGGAGAGACUAUAUCAUUCUUCAUGAAAGGGAAGUUACAGAACUUACAAAUCAACUCGUUAUGAGUUGAUACUUCCCUACUACUACUACUACAUUACAUUACACUAUUCUAUACUACUACUACUACGUUAUUUCACUAAUACUAUUUCUACUACUAAUCUAUACUAAUAUCUAAAAACUAGUGGCAUUUAGCCACUGGCCUAGUUGCUGCCCCUGCUGCUGCCCUUGCCGCCCUCGCCGCUGCCGUCGCCGCUGUCGCCGUCGCCUCCGUCGUCGUCGCUGUCUCCGCCAUCGCCGCCGCUGCCCUCCUCGGACGAGUCCGAGGAGCCCUCCUCGUCCGAGGAGUACUCCGACUCAUUCGAGCCCUCGAGCCCGGCGCGCUCGACGGUCCGGAUGUAGGUCCAGACCUCCGCGGCAAUCCCCUGGGAGUCGUCUGAAUCAUCAGACGACGUCGGGGGAGAGGCGGGGGCUGGAGACCCCUCGGACUCGGAGGAGAACUCCUCCUCCGAGUACUCCGAGUUGUCGAAGUCCUCCGAGGGAGGAGUCGGCUCACGCUUAUCACCGGAGCGAGGCGAGGAACUGCUACCCUUCUUACUCUUGCCCAUGGUGGAAAGGAAGGAGGAAGAAGAGAGCAAGCAGCAGAGAGCAGUAAGAGAUGUGAAAAUGCCGGGGAAGCAAGAACACUAUUUAUAGAAGAAGGAGGCAACCACUCACCUCCUACCACGGCUACUGAACAGUCGCAAAAAUUCAAUAUGCAAUUCAAACCGUCUAAAGACACGUCAGGCGGCUGACGCCGUUUCACGCAACACAACACCCAUUGGGACUCCAGUCAACUGCGCGGGCGAUAUGAUUACACCCGCGGUCACAUCAAGUUACUACUCAGAGACAGUUUGCUAAAACACUUAGUGUACCAAGCCGUCCCUUGCCUACACCCAUUGGGGGGGACGCCCAGGAAAUACCAGUAUAUUUUUCAAAACUGUCACAUCCGUGCAGCGCGUGCAAUGAAUACUUCAAGACAAAAGUGAGAUAUCAAUAAUGAUCAAAGGAAAGCCAAAUAUAGCCAACAAGGUACAAGUCUAAUCGACAGAAGCAUUGAAGCAAGAAGUGAUAACAAAGACUAGCCAAGGGUUACCUGUCGAAUGUCCAAUCAGUCACAGAUCAAAUAAAUAGCACCGCCUAGCAAGAUAUGAGCAGAUCACGAACUCGGCCUCAAAGACAAAAUAUACGCCGAUCUCUAAAGCAUAAUAUCAAUAACAUAGUGCUGACCUCCAAGGCAUCUAGCAAAAAGGGAAGAAGAUCACUGGAAAAAGGCAUAAAAUGAAGAUCUUCGAGUGAAUUAUUUCCAAAAAUCCACUUGAAGCUCGGGGGCUACACCCAUUGGGUGCACCUUCGGCGCACCCAAUGAAUCAUUAUCUCGGAUCAAGACAAUGCUGACUUCUAAAGCAUAGGGUAAGAUUAAUGCAAGGUUAACCUCCGACAAAAUACCAGUGGAAGAUGAAGGUGACUUCUGAUAAUACUCAAAGUGAAGACCUUCGAGUGGAUUAUUUUCAAAAAUCCACUCGAAGCUCGGGGGCUACACCCAUUGGGUGCACCUUUGAUCUCGAAGUCCUGCAGUACGAAAUGCUGACCUCCGAAGCAAAAGUCUGAGACAGAACAUCAAUUUUCAAGUGAUAAAAGGAGAAGGAGACAGUAAGAAAUCGUUUUUACCAGAUUACCCAGAAAGUACUUCCUGUUACAAACAAAGACCGCAAGCUGGACUUAGUAUCUCUGGGCCGAUUAUUUCAAAAUCAACCUAAAGAUCGGGGGCUUGUGGGGGACAGAUGUCCCCCGGGUCCACUGGAAGGAUAAAAGACCUCACGAAAGGCCCAAGGGUCCAAUAAGUCGUAAGGUCAUCCUUUCGUGGGCCUAGGGGAGGAACAACCAGUGAAGCAGAUCGACAUAAGGUUGGAUCGGAGCAAGCUCAGACGGCCCAAUGAUCUCGAGCGAGUAAUCACAACAGAGACCCGAUCUUCCCGCGCUGGAGGCCCGUACAACGAGCCGAGCGAAGAUGGGUCGGCAGAACUAUAGGAAGAUAGACUCAAUCGGUUUACUAUCUCUUAGGUGCACGUAAUUAUCAUAUCUGCAUGUAUUACCCCACGGUCGAGUAUAUAAGGCCUAGGAGGCACCCCUUCAGAAGGAAUCGAACCCACUACUUAGCCAUCCACCCCAGUUUCCUACAUAUUAGAGAAUCACCUUGUAACCCAUCAUAUACAACACUCUCGCCAGGACGUAGGGUGUUACGCACUCCAAAGCGGCCCGAACCUGUAAAUCAUUGUCUACCGUCUCUCGUGCUACUAGCACGAACCAUUGAGCUACAGUUGACAACACCGUCCUACUUCAAAAAACACCUUGAGGGGCAACCCCGGGUGUGCGGUCGGACCCAAAACACCGACAGGCUCCGAGUCACCACGAGCUAGAGAAUACAACGGAGGUAUCACACUUACAUGAUGAAGAACAUAGUAGUUUACGAGCAAACCGCUAAAGGUUAACCAAUUGUGCUUACAUGAAGAAGAAUUGCUAGUUUUCGGGUAAACUAGCAAAAAUAACCAUCAGAAGUUCGUCUGGCAAGCCUAGAGCGCCAUCUUGGAUCAAGCGAUAAAUGGCACCCCUUUCGUCCCAAAUUAGUAUUCGUUUUAACUCUUGGUUUUUAUGUCUAUAUUUAAUUGGAUUAUGAUGAAUCUAGACACACACAUAUAUAUAUAACAUACACACCAAUUAUUGUAUGAAUCCAUUAAAAAGCCAAAACGAAAUUUUAAUUUUGGACAGAGAGAGUAAUAUGGAGGUUAAAAGAGAGAUAGUAGAUUGGUUUUUUACUCGAUUAGAUGUUCAAUAGCUCAAUCGACCAUGAUCCUCUUAUAUAUAUUGAGAGAGAAUGGCCCUGUGUCCUAGUAGGAAAUAACUUUAAAAAUAUGUUUGGCAAGAUUCUAAUUCUAAAAACCAUUUAAAAAAAACCAAGCAAAAGUCAGCCAACCACCAAAGUUAAUUAGACUAGGUUUUGUGGAGACCAGACACUAAAAUCGGCACGACAACAAAAAGUUGGGGUCUGGUUAUCUGGAUCUGACCUAGCUAGGUUUAGCGAAGUGUCUGAUCACAACAAUAAAAUAUAAAAUUUUCGUGGGCCAAAGCCGUUGGAAAUAAACCUUGUCGGGUGGGCGCCGGCAGGGGCGGGUCGGGGCCGGCGUGGUCUCUGGCUUCGACGACGCGUGGUAUGUGAAACGACGAGCUCGUGCGAAAUGAAACGGCGCGCUCAGACGUCGUAGAAUUAAAAUCUUCAGUCGUUAGAUAUAAGGUUAUGUCCGGUGGCUUGUCUAACAGCCGUCGGAUAUAAAGUUGUCUCCGAUGGUUUGGUUGACUGACGUCGGACGUAUGCUCUUAUAUCCUAUGGCUGUAGGAAGUCAUCGGAGAUAUCGUGGUCGUCGGAGAUUUAUCAUUUUACUGGGAUGGAUGGCGACGGUGAAAACUGCGCGCCUGGACUCUGUAGUUCUCGCCAUGGUUAGCGAGCUACUCCUACCUCGUCCUCACAGAUCGGCCCGGCCCCGGUGCGCCGUAUUAAUUAUUGCAACCGUUUGACCUCGCAAUUAGCCAGGAAUGCUAUGAUUAUUCCCACGCGCAACAGUAACCAGCAGUACGAACAACGAAGAAAAUGCGCUAGAGAGAUGCCAUCUCAGUCGUCUCCUUAUCCGUAAUGAUUGGCUAAGCAGAUAGUAAUCCCGCGGUCUGCCUGGUGCCCUUUUGCUCGCGGCACGUCGUGCAAUGCAACGGCCGGCCGCAGCGCAUCCCGCGUUUUCGUGGCCGAAACCUCCCAUCUGCCUGCCUAGCUUGUGCCGUCUCUGACAUGUACACCAUCCAUAUCACGUUUUCGUCCCGGCGUUUUUGGGUAAUGGCCGACUUGUAGAACGAGCGGAAAUCCGCGACGAUCCAAAUGAUCCAUGGCAGGCGUGGAACACGGUGCCUUUUGCUAUCCUCGUUUUUGCGAAACAUGUUGUCAACGUGAAAAUCUGUUUCAUGGCGGCCGCCGGCCGAGGGUAGGAUUUCAUGCUACUCUAGUAUAGUCGGGCUACCAACGAUUCGUUCUUACUAGUUGGCUAUGCAUCAACAUGCAGAUACGGUAGGUAGAGACGAGUCAAGGUGAAAACUUGAGGGCACUAGUACGUGCCAUCUUCUUCCUUCUUUUUUCGAACGGACGGCAAAAGCCAGCACUAGUAGCUAGUGCCAUCUUCCCUCUCUGCAACUGUAGCCCGCACCAAGUGGCGAUCAGCAGGUCGACGCACACAGUGUCCUGCCACGCGUAGUGCGCUGCUGCGUUAUGAGGUGGAUCGAGAGAGAGAGAGAGAGAGAGCUGACUCAGUGUGAGGCAGCAGAACCCGAUCCAGCAAGCUGCCAAUGGAUGGCCCCGCCACGCCACACCCCACUCCAGACUCCGGGUCCAGAGGCAGAAGAACCCGAUCGAGCAGUUCCGGUUCGGGGCCCCGAUGCACAAAGGCAACGAUCUUUUCCAGGGAAUAGCCGCGCGGGGCCGGGUGGGAAGAGAGAAUUCCGCCCUCUUUUUUUUUUCCCUUUCUUUGAUUGAUCACCCACCAUGCAGCCAUGCACGAUCAUAAUCACCGACGGGGAGGAGCCCACCGGCCGGCGAGGCGGCGACGGCCGUACGUCCAGUCCAUUGGCUCAUUCAUCCACCGGAUCAUGCCGCCGCGGCGCCGCUCCCUUUUCAAGAUCUGGUCCUAGUUUUCCGGCCAGAACGCUACAGAACCAGCGAUCCGCCGCGGGGAGCUGUUUUGGCCUAUUGAACGGCCGGUUCCUCUUCCUUGUUUGUUUGAGACCCUGUUGUGCUCACAAUCCACCAUGCAUGCAUCAGUGGUUGCGCGCUAAGAAACGCGUGUUCUUUUUUUUUCCCAUUGUUUCUUAUUUGUUGAGGAGACGACUGAAUAUUUUGUGCACCACACGCAUUUUUUUAGUACCUGUUAUGUACCCACUCCAUGCAAGUCUCUGGAUGUCUAGUUCAGCCGUUUCAAAUUUAAGAUAACUACCCCAUAGCCAAUCCGAGCCAGAUUAUACAACGUCUUAACUUUUUUUUGUUAUAUAUCUAGAUACAUGUUAUGCCUAGAUGUAUAGCAAAAGCAAUGAAAAACCAAACCAUCUUUAUAAUUUAGAAUGUAAAUACUAGAUAGUAUAUGUAUUUAUCACUGCUGAAAACUGUAGUUCUUAUGUUAGUGCAAAACCGAUAGGGAAGAAAUGCAAAACUAAAAUUUAUGGUUUAUGUUUAGAACCAUAUAUAUCACGCGCGCGCUCACACAUAUAUAUACGAUUUCCCAUAGCUAUUAAUAUAAUGCAUUUCAUAUUAGAAUAUUAAAAUAUAUUAAUACCCCCUUACAUAUAAGGCUAUAUAAUUUUAUUUUUCUUUACAUAAGUUAACUUAUUUUAAUCAAGGUGUUUGAUAUAUCUGUAUUUAUAAUAGAAUUAUAAGAGCUUUAUUAUUCAUAAAAAUAUACAUCACUACACACAUAAUUCAUUGAUAAUUGGGGGGAGGUUAGUAUAGACCAAAGGUGGCUAUAUAUACCUUGGUGGUAUUUGAGAUUGAGUAAGCGAUUAUAUAGUUUAAAUAUUAAUAUUCUCGUUAUCCUAUUCUAGAUCUCACUUCAAACUCUAGCAUUGACCUUGAGGGACAUAAUCUAGGUUUAAGCAACCAUGCACGUAGUCUACAUUAUUACAUGAUUUUUUCCAUAGACGAACAAUUUAGGUUAACAAAAGCGGCCAAAUCGUCCACCUCUGUCAAAAGUCAUGCAUUAAUGUAGCUUUAGGCGGUGUUUGAGUGCACUAAAACUAAUAGUUAUCUGCUAAAAUUAGUCGAGACAUCCAAACAAUCUAACUAAUAUAUCAUCUAUUAGCAACCUAAUUCCACUAGCAAUUUUAACCAACUAACUAUUAUCUCUAGUGCAUUCAAACAUCCUUUAAAGAGAUAGACAAAGUGUGCUUUGCAUGGCUCUGGUAACCGCAUUAAUGGCAAAACUCCUUCAUUAAUACUUUUUAACAAAAAAUAAGAAAAUACAGCUACAAAGAAUUGAACUUGUAACCUUUUACUUCACCAUAACACAUCUCUACCACAAAACCACAUGCUCAUUUCUAAUUAUAUACUGCUGGGACGAAGGUGGAAUCUGCGAUCGUUACCAAUACUGACUCGUUUGUGUAUGCAUGGCACCAACACAAUGCAGGAAAGAAGACCGUGCGGACCAUGCGAAGGCCCCCUUCACACUGUGUGGAGGGUUCGUAGGAGGUAGGACUAAGUCGGGCUCCACGGGUGACGGGGGCUCGGUGCGUCGGUCUUUGCCGGCGACCCUGAGUCGAAGGACCCAAAGCCCCUAAGACUCCGCUCCUCUCCAUCCUCGCUCUUGGGCGACUAAUCCAAACCAAGAUGGAGGAUCAGGCAAAUCAAAGGGCAACCACUCCUCAUCGACGUCGAGUUAGAGGACGAGGAGACACCGAAGACUUCGGGAUGAUGGCCUCUAGGACCCGGAGUCAGUGGACUGUGCGGUUGUUGAAAACCUGAUGGGCCCUCCAAACAAGCAAAGUGGACCCGCCUGAUAGUCGCCUAGAGGGGGUGAAUAGGGCGAAACUGAAAUUUACAAAUAUAAACACAACUACAAGCCGGGUUAGCGUUAGAAAAAACGAGUCCGCGAGAGAGGGCGCAAAACAAAUCGCAAGCAAAUGAAGAGUGUGACACGCGGAUUUGUUUUACCGAGGUUCGGUUCUCGCAAACCUACUCCCCGUUGAGGAGGCCACAAAGGCCGGGUCUCUUUCAACCCUUCCCUCUCUCAAACGGUCACUUAGACCGAGUGAGCUUCUCUUCUCAAAUCAAAGCCAGGAACAAAACUUCCCCGCAAGGGCCACCACACAAUUGGUGCCUCUUGCCUUGAUUACAAUGGAGUUUUGAUCACAAGAACAAGUGAGAAAGAAAAGAAGCAAUCCAAGCGCAAGAGCUCAAAAGAACACGGCAAAUCUCUCUCGCUAAUCACUAAGGACUUGUGUGGAGUUGGAGAGGAUUUGAUCUCUUUGGUGUGUCUAGAAUUGAAUGCCUAGCUCUUGUAAGUGGUUCAGAAGUGGAAAACUUGGAUGCAAUGAAUGGUGGGGUGGUUGGGGUAUUUAUAGCCCCAACCACCAAAAGUGGCCGUUGGGAGGCUGUCUGUUCGAUGGCGCACCGGACAGUCCGGUGCACACCGGACAUGUCCGGUGCCCCUGCCACGUCAUCACUGCCGUUGGAUUCUGACCGUUGAAGCUUCUGACUUGUGGGCCCGCCUGGAUGUCCGGUGCCCACCGGACAUGCACUGUUCCUUGUCCGGUGCGCCAGUAUGGGCACGCCUGACUUCUGUGCGCGCUGCGCGCGCAUUAAUUGCGUCGCAGGUAGCCGUUGGCGCCGAAUAGCCGUUGCUCCGGAGUUGCACCGGACAGUCUGGUGCACACCGGACAUGUCCGGUGAAUUAUAGCGGACUAGCCGUUGGAGUUUUCCGAAGCUGGCGAGUUCCUGAGGCCGACCUCCCUUGGAGCACCGGACACUGUCCGGUGUACACCGGACAGUCCGAUGAAUUAUAGUGGAGUCGCCUCUGGAAAUUCCCGAAGGUGGCGAGUUUGAGUUGGAGUCCUCUGGUGCACCGGACACUGUCCGGUGGCACACCGGACAGUCCGGUGCGCCAGACCAGAGGUGCCUUCGGUUGGCCCUUUGCUCCUUGGUUGAAUCCAAAAUUGGUCUUUUGAUUGGCUUGUUGUGAACCUUUGACACCUGUAUAACUUAUUCACUAGAGCAAACUAGUUAGUCCAAAGAUUUGUGUUGGGCAAUUCAACCACCAAAAUUAUAUAGGAACUAGGUGUAAGCCUAAUUCCCUUUCAAUCUCCCCCUUUUUGGUGAUUGAUGCCAACACAAACCAAAGCAAAUAUAGAAGUGCAUAAUUACACUAGUUUGCAUAAUAUAAGUGUAAAGGUUGCUUGGAAUUGAGCCAAUAUAAAUACUUACAAGAUAUGCAUGGAUCGUUUCUUUCUUAUUUAACAUUUUGGACCACGCUUGCACCACAUGUUUUGUUUUUGCAAACUCUUUUGUAAAUCCUUUUCAAAGUUCUUUUGCAAAUAGUCAAAGGCAAAUGAAUAAUAUUUUGUAAAGCAUUUUUAAGAUUUGAAAUUUUCUCUCCCUGUUUCAAAUGCUUUUCCUUUGACUAAACAAAACUCCCCCUAAAUGAUAUCCUCCUCUUAGUGUUCAAGAGGGUUUUGAUAUACCAUUUUUGAAAUACUACUUUCUCCCUCUUUUGAACACAAUAGGAUACAAUUGAUAAAAUUCUUUGAAAACACGAAGUUUUUGUUUUUUUUUUGAAAAAAGUGGUGGUGUGGUCCUUUUGCUUUGGGCUCUUACUUUCUCCCCCUUUGGCAUGAAUCGCCAAAAACGGAAUCAUUAGAGCCCUCGAAGUGCUUUCUUCCCCUUUGGUCAUAAAUAAAUGAGUUAAGGUUAUACCAAAGACGAAGUCCUUUUGCGUGACAUGGAGCGACGGCGAAGGAUGAGUUACGGAGUGGAAGCCUUUGUCUUCGCCGAAGACUCCAAUUCCCUUUCAAUAUACCUAUGACUAGGUUUGAGAUAGACUUGAAAACACAUUAGUCAUAGCAUAUAAAAGAGAUAUGAUCAAAGGUAUAUAAAUGAGCUAUGUGUGCAAUCUAGCAAAAGAAGUUGCGUGAAUCAAGAAUAUUGAGCUCAUGCCUAAGUUUGGUAAAAGUUUGUUCAUCAAGAGGCUUGGUAAAGAUAUCGGCUAAUUGAUCUUUAGUGUUAAUGUAUGAAAUCUCGAUAUCUCCCUUUUGUUGGUGAUCCCUAAGAAAAUGAUACCGGAUGGCUAUGUGCUUAGUGCGGCUAUGCUCGACGGGAUUGUCGGCCAUUUUGAUUGCACUCUCAUUAUCACAUAGCAAAGGGACUUUGGUUAGUUUGUAACCGUAGUCCCGCAGGGUUUGCCUCAUCCAAAGCAAUUGCGCGCAACAAUGGCCUGCGGCAAUAUACUCGGCUUCGGCGGUGGAAAGAGCGACCGAAUUUUGCUUCUUUGAAGCCCAAGACACCAAGGAUCUUCCCAAGAACUGGCAAGUCCCCGAUGUGCUCUUCCUAUUGAUUUUGCACCCUGCCCAAUCGGCAUCCGAAUAACCAAUCAAAUCAAAUGUGGAUCCCCGAGGGUACCAAAGCCCAAACUUAGGAGUAUAAGCCAAAUAUCUCAAGAUUCGUUUUACGGCCGUAAGGUGGGAUUCCUUAGGGUCGGAUUGGAAUCUUGCACACAUGCAAACGGAAAGCAUAAUGUCCGGUCGAGAUGCACAUAAAUAGAGUAAUGAACCUAUCAUCGACCGGUAUACCUUUUGAUCCACGGACUUACCUCCCGUGUCGAGGUCGAGAUGCCCAUUAGUUCCCAUGGGUGUCUUGAUGGGCUUGGCAUCCUUCAUUCCAAACUUGCUUAGAAUAUCUUGAGUGUACUUGGUUUGGCUUAGGAAGGUGCCCUCUUGGAGUUGCUUCACUUGAAAUCCUAAGAAAUACUUCAACUCCCCCAUCAUAGACAUCUCGAACUUUUGUGUCAUGAUCCUACUAAACUCUUCACAUGUAGAUUCGUUAGUAGACCCGAAUAUAAUAUCAUCAACAUAAAUUUGGCAUACAAACAAAUCAUUUUCAAGUGUUUUGGUGAAGAGCGUAGGAUCGGCCUUUCCGUCUUUGAAUCCAUUUGCAAUAAGAAAAUCUCUAAGGUAUUCAUACCAUGCUCUUGGGGCUUACUUGAGCCCAUAAAGCGCCUUAGAGAGCUUAUAGACAUGGUUAGGAUACUCACUGUCUUCAAAGCCGGGAGGUUGCUCAACAUAGACCUCUUCCUUGAUUGGUCCGUUGAGGAAGGCACUUUUCACCUCCAUUUGAUAAAGCUUAAAGCCAUGGUAAGUAGCAUAGGCCAAUAAAAUGCGAAUUGACUCAAGCCUAGCUACGAGUGCAUAGGUUUCACCGAAAUCCAAACCUUCGACUUGGGAGUAGCCUUUGGCCACAAGUCUAGCUUUGUUCCUUGUCACCACUCCAUGCUCAUCUUGCUUGUUGCGGAAGACCCAUUUGGUUCCUACAACAUUUUGGUUAGGACGUGGAACUAAAUGCCAUACCUCAUUCCUAGUGAAGUUGUUGAGCUCCUCUUGCAUCGCCACCACCCAAUCCGAAUCUUGGAGUGCUUCCUCUACCCUGUGUGGCUCAAUAGAGGAAACAAAAGAGUAAUGUUCACAAAAAUGGGCAACACGAGAUCUAGUAGUUACCCCCUUAUGAAUGUCGCCGAGGAUGGUGUCGAUGGGGUGAUCUCGUUGGAUUGCUUGGUGGACUCUUGGGUGUGGCGGUCUUUGCUCUUCAUCCUCCUUGUCCUGAUCAUUUGCAUCUCCCCCUUGAUCUAUGUCGUCAUCUUGAGGUGGCUCAUUUGAUUGAUCUUCUUCUUCAUCAACUUGAGCUUCUUCCUCAUUUUGAGGUUGUGGAGAUGCUUGCAUGGAGGAAGACGGUUGAUCUUGUGCUUUUGGAGGCUCUUCAGAUUCCUUAGGACACACAUCCCCAAUGGACAUGUUCCUUAGAGCGAUGCACGAAGCCUGUUCUUCACCUAUCUCAUCAAGAUCAACUUGCUCUACUUGAGAGCCGUUAGUUUCAUCAAACACAACGUCACAUGAGACUUCAACUAGUCCAGUGGACUUGUUAAAGACCCUAUAUGCCCUUGUGUUUGAGUCAUAACCAAGUAAAAAGCCUUCUACAGUCUUAGGAGCAAAUUUAGAUUUUCUACCUCUUUUAACAAGAAUAAAACAUUUGCUACCAAAGACUCUAAAGUAUGAAAUGUUGGGCUUUUUACCGGUAAGGAGUUCAUAUGAUGUCUUCUUGAGGAUUCGGUGAAGAUACAACCGGUUGAUGGCGUAGCAAGCGGUGUUGACCGCCUCGGCCCAAAACCGAUCCGAAGUCUUGUACUCAUCAAGCAUGGUUCUUGCCAUGUCCAGUAGAGUUCGAUUCUUUCUCUCCACUACACCAUUUUGUUGUGGAGUGUAGGGAGAAGAGAACUCAUGCUUGAUGCCCUCCUCCUCAAGGAAGCCUUCAAUUUGAGAAUUCUUGAACUCCGUCCCGUUGUCGCUUCUAAUUUUCUUGAUUCUUAAUCCGAACUCAUUUUGAGCCCGUCUCAAGAAUCCCUUUAAGGUUUCUUGGGUUUGAGAUUUUUCCUGCAAAAAGAAUACCCAAGUGAAGCGAGAAUAAUCAUCCACAAUAACUAGACAGUACUUACUCCCGCCGAUGCUUAUGUAAGCAAUCAGGCCGAAUAGAUCCAUGUGUAGGAGCUCCAGUGGCCUGUCGGUCGUCAUUAUGUUCUUAUGCGGAUGAUGGGCUCCAACUUGCUUUCCUGCUUGGCAUGCGCUACAAAUCCUGUCUUUCUCAAAAUGAACAUUUGUUAGUCCUAAAAUGUGUUCCCCCUUUAGAAGCUUGUGAAGAUUCUUCAUCCCAACAUGGGCCAGUCGGCGGUGCCAGAGCCAACCCAUGUUAGUCUUAGCAAUUAAGCAUGUGUCGAGUUCAGCUCUAUCAAAAUCUACUAAGUAUAGCUGACCCUCUAACACACCCUUAAAUGUUAUUGAAUCAUCACUUCUUCUAAAGACAGUGACACCUACAUCAGUGAAAAGACAGUUGUAGCCCAUUUGACAUAAUUGUGAAACGGAAAGCAAAUUGUAAUCUAAAGAAUCUACAAGAAAAACAUUGGAAAUAGUAUGGUCAGGUGAUAUAGCAAUUUUACCCAAACCUUUGACCAAACCUUGAUUUCCAUCCCCGAAUGUGAUAGCUCGUUGGGGAUCUUGGUUUUUCUCAUAUGAGGAGAACAUCUUUUUCUCCCCUGUCAUGUGGUUUGUGCACCCGCUGUCGAGUAUCCAACUUGAGCCCCCGGAUGCAUAAACCUACAAAACAAGUUUAGUUCUUGACUUUAGGUACCCAAAUGGUUUUGGGUCCUUUGGCAUUAGACACAAGAACUUUGGGUACCCAAACACAAGUCUUGGAGCCCUUGUGCUUGCCCCCAACAUAUUUGGCAACUAUCUUGCCGGAUUUGUUAGUCAACACAUAAGAUGCAUCAAAAGUUUUAAAUGAAAUGUCAUGAUCAUUUGAUGCACUAGGAGUUUUUUUUCUAGGCAACUUAGCACGGGUUGGUUGCCUAGAGCUAGAUGUCUCACCCUUAUACAUGAAAGCAUGAUUAGGGCCAGAGUGAGACUUCCUAGAAUGAAUUCUCCUAAUUUUGCUCUCGGGAUAACCGGCAGGGUAUAAAAUGUAACCUUCGUUAUCCUGAGGCAUGGGAGCCUUGCCCUUAACAAAAUUUGACAAUCUUUUAGGAGGGGCACUAAGUUUGACAUUGUCUCCCCUUUGGAAGCCAAUGCCAUCCUUAAUGCCCGGGCGUCUCCCAUUAUAAAGCAUACUACGAGCAAAUUUAAAUUUUUCAUUUUCUAAGUUAUGCUCGGCAAUUUUAGCAUCUAAUUUAGCUAUAUGAUCAUUUUGUUGCUUAAUUAAAGUCAUGUGAUCAUGUAUAGCAUCAAUGUUAACAUCUCUACAUCUAGUGCAAAUAGAAGUGUGCUCAACGGUAGAUGUAGAGGGUUUGCAAGAAUUAAGUUCAACAAUCUUAGCAUGUAGAAUAUCAUUUUUAUCUCUAAGAUCGGAAAUUGUAACUUUGCAAACAUCAAAAUCUUUAGCCUUAGCAAGCAAUUUUUCAUUCUCAAUUCUAAGGCUAGCAAGAGAAAUGUUCAAUUCUUCAAUCCUAGCAAGCAAAUCAUCAUUAUCAUCUCUAGGCUUGGGAAUUGAAACAUUACAAACAUGAGAAUCAACCUUAGCUAAUAAAUUAGCAUUUUCAUUUCUAAGGUUGUCUAUAGUCUCAUGGCAAGUGCUUAGCUCACUAGACAAUUUUUCACAUUUUUCUACUUCUAGAGCAUAAGCAUUUUUAACCUUAACAUGCUUCUUAUUUUCUUUAAUAAGGAAGUCCUCUUGGGUGUCCAAGAGAUCAUCCUUUUCAUGGAUGGCACUAAUCAAUUCAUUAAGUUUUUCUUUUUGUUGCAUGUUGAGGUUGGCAAAAAGAGUACGUAAAUUAUUUUCCUCAUCACUAGCAUUAUCAUCACUAGAGGAUUCAUAUUUAGUGGAGGAUUUAGAUUUAACCUUCUUUUUGCCGUCCUUUGCCAUGAGGCACUUGUGGCCGACAUUGGGGAAGAGGAGUCCCUUGGUGACGGUGAUGUUGGCGGCGUCCUCGUCGUCGGAGGAGUCGCUAGAGCUUUCGUCGGAGUCCCACUCCCGACAAACAUGGGCAUCGCCGCCCCUCUUCUUGUAGUACCACUUCUUUUCUCUCCUCUUGCCCUUCUUGUCGUCGCCCAUGUCACUAUCACUUGAUAAUGGACAUUUAGCUAUAAAGUGAUCGGGCUUACCACAUUUGUAGCAAACCUUCUUGGAGCGGGACUUGUAAUCUUUCCCUCUCCUUUGCUUGAGGAUUUGGCGGAAGCUCUUGAUGACGAGCGCCAUUUCCUCAUUGUCGAGCUUGGAGGCGUCGAUUGGUUGCCGACUUGGUGUGGACUCCUCCUUCUUUUCUUCCGUCGCCUUGAAUGCGACGGGUUGAGCUUCGGAUGUGGUGGGUUCGUCAAGCUCGUUGAUCUUCCUCGAGCCUUCGAUCAUGCACUCAAAACUUACAAAAUGCCCGAUUACUUCCUCGGGGGUCAUUAGUGUAUAUCUUGGAUUGCCACGAAUUAAUUGAACUUGAGUGGGGUUAAGGAAAAUAAGAGAUCUUAGAAUAACCUUAACCACCUCGUGGUCAUCCCACUUUUUGCUCCCGAGGUUGCGCACUUGGUUCACCAAAGUCUUGAGCCGGUUGUACAUGUGUUGUGGCUCCUCCCCUUUGCGAAGCCGGAACCGACCGAGCUCCCCCUCAAUCGUCUCCCGCUUGGUGAUCUUUGUGAGCUCAUCUCCUUCGUGAGCGGUUUUGAGCACAUCCCAAACUUCCUUGGCGCUCUUCAACCCUUGCACUUUGUUAUACUCCUCUCGACUUAGAGAGGCGAGGAGUAUUGUUGUCGCUUGAGAGUUGAAGUGCUCGAUUUGGGCCACCUCAUCCUCAUCAUAGUCUUUAUCCCCUACGGAUGGUACCUGUGCGCCAAACUCAACAACAUCCCAUAUACUUUUGUGGAGUGAGGUUAGAUGAAAUCGCAUUAAAUCACUCCACCUAGCAUAAUCUUCACCAUCAAAAGUUGGUGGUUUGCCUAAUGGGACGGAAAGUAAAGGUGCAUGUUUAGAAAUGCGAGGGUAGUGUAGGGGAAUCUUACUAUACUUCUUGCGCUCUUGGCGCUUAGAAGUAACGGAUGCCGCGUCGGAGCCGGAGGUGGAUGUUGAUGAAGUGUCGGUCUCGUAGUAGACCACUUUCCUCAUCCUCUUGUGCUUGUCCCCACUCCGAUGCGGCUUGUGAGAAGAAGAUUUCUCCUUCUUCUCUUUGUGGUGAGAAGAAGAUCUCUUCUCCUUCCCUUUGUUGGAGGAGCUCUUCUUCUUCUCCUUCCUCUUGGUGCGGGACUCUUUCGAUGAAGUGCUCCUGUGGCUUGUAGUGGGCUUUUCGCCGGUCUCCAUCUCCUUCUUGGCGUGAUCUCCCGACAUCACUUCGAGCGGUUAGGCUCUAAUGAAGCACCGGGUUCUGAUACCAAUUGAUAGUCGCCUAGAGGGGGGGUGAAUAGGGCGAAACUGAAAUUUACAAAUAUAAACACAACUACAAGCCGGGUUAGCGUUAGAAAAAACGAGUCCGCGAGAGAGGGCGCAAAACAAAUCGCAAGCAAAUGAAGAGUGUGACACGCGGAUUUGUUUUACCGAGGUUCGGUUCUCGCAAACCUACUCCCCGUUGAGGAGGCCACAAAGGCCGGGUCUCUUUCAACCCUUCCCUCUCUCAAACGGUCACUUAGACCGAGUGAGCUUCUCUUCUCAAAUCAAAGCCAGGAACAAAACUUCCCCGCAAGGGCCACCACACAAUUGGUGCCUCUUGCCUUGAUUACAAUGGAGUUUUGAUCACAAGAACAAGUGAGAAAGAAAAGAAGCAAUCCAAGCGCAAGAGCUCAAAAGAACACGGCAAAUCUCUCUCGCUAAUCACUAAGGACUUGUGUGGAGUUGGAGAGGAUUUGAUCUCUUUGGUGUGUCUAGAAUUGAAUGCCUAGCUCUUGUAAGUGGUUGAGAAGUGGAAAACUUGGAUGCAAUGAAUGGUGGGGUGGUUGGGGUAUUUAUAGCCCCAACCACCAAAAGUGGCCGUUGGGAGACUGUCUGUUCGAUGGCGCACCGGACAGUCCGGUGCACACCGGACAUGUCCGGUGCCCCUGCCACGUCAUCACUGCCGUUGGAUUCUGACCGUUGAAGCUUCUGACUUGUGGGCCCGCCUGGAUGUCCGGUGCCCACCGGACAUGCACUGUUCCUUGUCCGGUGCGCCAGUAUGGGCACGCCUGACUUCUGUGCACGCUGCGCGCGCAUUAAUUGCGUCGCAGGUAGCCGUUGCUCCGGAGUUGCACCGGACAGUCCGGUGCACACCGGACAUGUCCGGUGAAUUAUAGCGGACUAGUCGUUGGAGUUUUCCGAAGCUGGCGAGUUCCUGAGGCCGACCUCCCUUGGAGCACCGGACACUGUCCGGUGUACACCGGACAGUCCGGUGAAUUAUAGUGGAGUCGCCUAUGGAAAUUCCCGAAGGUGGCGAGUUUGAGUUGGAGUCCUCUGGUGCACCGGACAUGUCCGGUGGUGCACCGGACACUGUCCGGUGGCACACCGGACAGUCCGGUGCGCCAGACCAGAGGUGCCUUCGGUUGGCCCUUUGCUCCUUGGUUGAAUCCAAAAUUGGUCUUUUGAUUGGCUUGUUGUGAACCUUUGACACCUGUAUAACUUAUUCACUAGAGCAAACUAGUUAGUCCAAAGAUUUGUGUUGGGCAAUUCAACCACCAAAAUUAUAUAGGAACUAGGUGUAAGCCUAAUUCCCUUUCACCGCCUAUCAACCUCCACGAUGGGUACAAUGUUCGUUGUAACUAGAUCUAGGUUGCCACUGUUUCCGUAACUACCCCAUUGUACAAUAUAUUCUAGGAAUGCAGUAGAUAACCAGGGGCACACACAUAUUUUUGGCCCCACCUUUAGUUACCCCAUAAAUACCCCUAUCCGACCUAUGGACGGGACACGCUUGACAAGACAUUCGAAUAAUCCAGCUUCCCAUUUUGUCGUGCACUAUAGCUCUCACCUGGUCCCAAGUGCUUGGGCUCACAUGUCAGGACCCAACAUUUGGUAUCGAUCCAUCGUGCUCGCUAUGAAUUAACUAAUCCACGAUGGGUCCCAAAAAGAACACCCCGAUCUAACUCCAUCAUAGCUGAGUUGACGAAGGCAGCCUCCACCGACGAUUCUAAGAGGCCCAUGGUCACCUUUUCCACCCAAGACCAAGGCACACAAGCAAAGACUAAACCAUCAACAGAAAGAAACCUCCCACCUCACCACAAGGAACAUGUGAGAGCACCUAGAGGGGGGGUGAAUAGGUGAUCCUGUGAAACUUAAACUUAUAGCCACAAAAACUUGUUAAGUGUUAGCACAAUAAUCGCCAAGUGGCUAGAGAGGAGUCUCAACAAAACACAAUACCACAAGAGAUCAAACACAGAGAUGACACAGUGAUUUAUCCCGUGGUUCGGCCAAGACCAACGCUUGCCUACUCCACGUUGUGGCGUCCCAACGGACGAGGGUUGCAAUCAACCCCUCUCAAGCGGUCCAAAGACCAACUUGAAUACCACGGUGUUUUGCUUUGCCUUUCAAUAUCCCGUUUGCGAGGAAUCUCCACAACUUGGAGCCUCUCGCCCUUACACUUGAGAUUCACAAAGAAAUACGGAGUAAGGGAGGAACUAGCAAUGCACACAAGACUCAAAAUCAGAGCAUCAGCACGCACACAAGUCGCAACAAGAGCUCGCAACACAACUCAAUGAGUUCACAACUCAACAAGAGCUCUAGAUGCUAUCACAAUGAACCAAAUGCGUGGAAUCGAUGUCUUGGUGCUUAGGAAUGUUGUAGGAAUGCUUGGUGUUCUCCUCCAUGCGCCUAGGGGUCCCUUUUAUAGCCCCAAGGCAGCUAGGAGCCGUUGAGAGCAAAUCUGGAAGGCUGAUCUUGCCUUCUGUCGACUGGUGUACCGGACAGUCCGGUGCACACCGGACACUGUCCGGUGCCCGAUUUCUUUCCUUAAACGGCGCAGCCGACCGUUGGCCGCGGAGAGCCGUUGGCGCACCGGACAUGUCCGGUGCACACCGGACAGUCCGGUGCCCCCUUCCGACCGUUGGCCCGGCCACGUGUCGCGCGCAGAUACCGCGGCCGACCGUUGGCUCGGCCGACCGUUGGCUCACCGGACAGUCCGGUGCACACCGGACAGUCCGGUGAAUUAUAGCCGUACGUCGCCGGUAAAUUCCCGAGAGCGGCCAGUUCGCCCGAGUCAGUCUGGCGCACCGGACACUGUCCGGUGCUCCAGACCGAACAGUCCGGUGCUCCAGACCGAACAGCCUUUUGGCUGUACACAGCCAACUUUUCUCUGACUCGAUUCCUCCUGUUUCAAGCACUUAGACACAAUACAUUAGUCUUCAAAACAAUGUACUAAGGCUUAGAAACAUACCUUUACUCUUGAUUUGCACUUUGUCCAUCCAUGGGUAUAGAUUCACAUUUAAGCACUUGUGUUGGCACUCAAUCACCAAAAUACUUAGAAAUGGCCCAAGGGCACAUUUCCCUUUCAAUCUCCCCCUUUUUGGUGAUUUAUGCCAACACAACAUAAAGCAACUAGAACAAGUGCAAUAUCACUUCAAAUAAAACUCAAAUUUAUUUUGAUUCAAUUUUGGCAUAUAUGGAUCAUCCUUUGCCACCACUUGGUUUGUUUUUGCAAAUCAAAACUCAAAUUUCUAUCUCUAAGUCAAACACACAUGUUGAAGCAUAAAGAGAGUCAUUCCAAAAGAGAUUGAUCAAAGAUUUCAAAAACUCCCCCUAUUUCCCAUAAUCAACACUUCUCCCCACAAGAGGCCAACUUUUGACAAAAGAGACAAUGCAAGAGUUUUGACAAAACAAAAAGCUCUAUUUUACUAUUUGCAAAAUUUCUCAAGUGGUAGCUGAUCCAUUUAUUGCUUUGGCCUUUAUUUUCUCCCCCUUUGGCAUCAAGCACCAAAACGGGAUCAAUCUUGGCCCUUUAACCCCAUUGCCUCACCAAAAUCUUCAAUUAAGAGCAAAUAGGCAAUAAGAGUUAAAAGAUGAACUUGGAAAAGUUACUCUUUUCAUCGGAGUGCAGUGGAAGUCUUGCAUGGUCCAAGUCCACCUUUUCCCUUUCAAUUCUCCUUCGAGACUAAAUCAAGCAAACUCAAGCAUAUGGUUAGUCUCAAAGGGUCAAGUUGUAACACAACUCCCCCUAAAUAUGUGCAUCACUUACACAAGGACUUGUGAGGUCCAGGGAAUGUUUGUACAACUUGAGCACCACAAUAAGCAACAAAAUGCAGAAUGAACAUGAUCAAAGGCAUAAACACAUGUAUGCUACAAUUCAAUCCAAGUUCCGCGAAUCUAAGACAUUUAGCUCACUACGCAGCCUGCAAAAGGUCUUCUCAUCUAGAGGCUUGGUAAAGAUAUCGGCUAGCUGGUUCUCGGUGCUAACAUGAAACACUUCGAUAUCUCCCUUUUGCUGGUGGUCUCUCAGAAAGUGAUGCCGGAUGUCAAUGUGCUUUGUGCGGCUGUGUUCAACAGGAUUUUCCGCCAUGCGGAUAGCACUCUCAUUGUCACAUAGGAGUGGGACUUUGCUCAGAUUGUAGCCAAAGUUCCGGAGGGUUUGCCUCAUCCAAAGUAGUUGCGCACAACACUGUCCUGCGGCAACGUACUCGGCCUCAGCGGUGGAUAGGGCAACGGAAGUUUGUUUCUUAGAGUUCCACGACACCAGGGACCUUCCUAAGAAUUGGCAUGUCCCCGAUGUACUCUUCCUAUCGACCUUACAUCCAGCAUAGUCGGAAUCUGAGUAUCCAACCAAGUCAAAGGUAGACCCCUUUGGAUACCAGAGCCCGAAGCAAGGUGUAGCAACCAAAUAUCUAAGAAUUCGCUUCACCGCCACUAAGUGACACUCCUUAGGAUCGGAUUGAAAUCUAGCACACAUGCAUACGCUAAGCAUAAUAUCCGGUCUACUAGCACAUAAAUAAAGUAAAGACCUUAUCAUUGACCGGUAUGCUUUUUGAUCAACGGACUUACCUCCUUUGUUGAGAUCGGUGUGUCCGUCAGUUCCCAUCGGAGUCUUUGCGGGCUUGGCGUCCUUCAUCCCAAACCGCUUUAGCAGAUCUUGCGUGUACUUCGUUUGGGAGAUGAAGGUGCCAUCCUUGAGUUGCUUCACUUGGAACCCAAGGAAGUAGCUCAACUCGCCCAUCAUUGACAUCUCGAAUUUCUGCGUCAUCACCCUGCUAAACUCUUCACAAGACUCUUUAUUAGUAGAGCCAAAUAUUAUGUCAUCAACAUAAAUUUGGCACACAAACAAAUCUCCAUCACAAGUCUUAGUAAAAAGAGUUGGAUCGGCUUUCCCAACCUUGAAAGCAUUAGCAAUUAAGAAAUCUCUAAGGCAUUCAUACCAUGCUCUUGGGGCUUGCUUAAGUCCAUAGAGCGCCUUAGAGAGCUUACACACGUGGUCGGGGUACCGUUCAUCCUCGAAGCCAGGGGGUUGCUCCACGUACACCUCCUCCUUUAUUGGCCCGUUGAGGAAAGUGCUCUUCACAUCCAUUUGGUACAACCUGAAAGAAUGGUGAGCGGCAUAUGCUAGCAAGAUACGAAUUGAUUCUAGCCUAGCCACAGGAGCAAAAGUCUCCUCAAAGUCCAAACCUGCGACUUGGGCAUAACCUUUUGCCACAAGUCGAGCCUUGUUCCUCGUCACCACUCCGUGCUCGUCUUGUUUGUUGCGGAACACCCACUUGGUUCCCACAACAUUUUUCUUAGGACGAGGCACCAGCGUCCAAACUUCAUUUCUCUUGAAGUUGUUGAGCUCCUCUUGCAUGGCCAACACCCAGUCCGGAUCUAGCAAGGCCUCUUCUACCCUGAAAGGCUCAAUAGAAGAGACAAAGGAGUAAUGCUCACAAAAAUUAACUAAUCGAGAUCGAGUAGUUACUCCCUUGCUAAUGUCACCCAAAAUUUGGUCGACGGAAUGAUCCCUUUGAAUCACCGCUCGAACUUGGGUUGGAGGUGCCGGUUGCGCUUCUUCCUCCAUCACGUGAUCAUCUUGUGCUCCCCCUUGAUCACACGCCUCCUUUUGAUGAACAUGUUCAUCGUCUUGAGUUGGGGGAUGCACCGUUGUUGAGGAAGAAGGUUGAUCUCGUUCAUCUUGUUCCUGUGGCCGCACUUCUCCAAUCGCCAUGGUUCGUACAGCGGCCGUCGGAACAUCUUCUUCAUCUACAUCAUCACAAUCAACAACUUGCUCUCUUGGAGAGCCAUUAGUCUCAUCAAAUACAACGUCGCUAGAGACUUCAACCAAACCCGAUGAUUUGUUGAAGACUCUAUAUGCCUUUGUAUUUGAGUCAUAACCUAGCAAAAACCCUUCUACAGCUUUGGGAGCAAAUUUAGAAUUUCUAACCUUCUUCACUAGAAUGUAGCACCUGCUCCCAAAUACACGAAAGUAAGAUACAUUGGGUUUGUUACCGGUUAGGAGCUCAUACGAAGUCUUCUUGAGGAGGCGAUGAAGAUAGACCCUAUUGAUGGCGUGGCAAGCCGUGUUCACGGCUUCCGACCAAAAAUGCUCGGGGGUCUUGAAUUCUCCAAGCAUCGUCCUUGCCAUAUCGAUUAGCGUCCUGUUCUUCCUCUCUACCACACCAUUUUGCUGUGGUGUGUAGGGAGCGGAGAACUCGUGCUUGAUCCCUUCCUCCUCAAGGAACUCCUCCACUUGAAGGUUCUUGAACUCGGACCCGUUGUCGCUCCUUAUCUUCUUCACCUUGAGCUCAAACUCAUUUUGAGCUCUCCUGAGGAAGCGCUUGAGGGUCCCUUGGGUUUCAGACUUAUCCUGCAAAAAGAACACCCAAGUGAAGCGGGAAACGUCAUCAACAAUAACUAAACCAUACUUACUUCCUCCUAUGCUUAGAUAGGCGACGGGUCCGAAGAGGUCCAUAUGUAGCAGCUCCAGGGGUCUUGAUGUGGUCAUCACAUUCUUGCUGUGAUGCGCUCCUCCCACCUGUUUACCUGCCUGACAAGCUGCACAAGGUCUAUCUUUUUCGAAUUGUACGUUAGUCAAACCUAUCACGUGUUCUCCCUUUAGAAGCUUGUGAAGGUUCUUCAUCCCCACAUGUGCUAAGCGGCGAUGCCACAGCCAGCCCAUGCUAGUCUUAGCAAUUAAGCAUGCAUCUAGACCGGCCUCUUCUUUUGCAAAAUCAACUAAGUAAAGCUUGCCGUCUAAUACACCCUUAAAGGCUAGUGAACCAUCACUUCUUCUAAAGACAGACACAUCUACAUUUGUAAAAAGACAAUUAUAUCCCAUAUUGCAUAGUUGACUAACAGAUAGCAAAUUGUAACCAAGAGACUCAACUAAAAACACAUUAGAGAUAGAGUGCUCAUUAGAGAUUGCAAUUUUACCUAACCCUUUUACCUUGCCUUGAUUCCCAUCACCGAAUAUAAUUGAAUCUUGGGAAUCCUUAUUCUUGACGUAGGAGGUGAACAACUUCUUCUCCCCCGUCAUAUGGUUUGUGCAUCCGCUGUCGAUAAUCCAGCUUGAACCCCCGGAUGCAUAAACCUGCAAGGCAAAUCUAGGCUUGGGACUUAGGUACCCAACUCUUGUUGGGUCCUACAAGGUUAGUCACAAUUGUCUUAGGGACCCAAAUGCAAGUUUUAUCUCCCUUGCAUUUUGCCCCUAAUUUCCUAGCAAUCACCUUUCUAUUCUUUCUACAAAUUGCAAAGGAAGCACUCAAAGCAUGAUAUAUUGUAGAAGGUUCAUUAACUUUCCUAGGAACAUUAACAACAUUUCUCCUAGGCAUAUUAUGAACAACAUUUCUCCUACCAAUAUUUCUAUCAUGCACAUAGAAAGAACUAGACGCAAACAUGUCAUGAGAAUCAAAAUCAUCAUAAGCAUUGUAACUCCUAUAAGCAUUUCUAGUUUGUCUCUUAUCAUGGUACAUAAAAGCAUGGUUCUUUUUAGCACUACUUGCCAUAAGGGCCUUCCCUUUCUCCUUGGCGGAGAUAGGAGCCUUAUGGCUUGUUAAGUCCUUGGCUUCCUUCUUGUAGCCAAGUCCAUCCUUAAUUGAGGGGUGUCUACCAAUUGUGUAGGCAUCCCUUGCAAAUUUUAGCUUAUCAAAAUUACUCUUGCUAGUCUUAAGUUGAGCAUUAAGACUAGCCAAUUCAUCAUUAAGUUUGGAAAUUGAAACUAGGUGUUCACUACAAGCAUCAAUGUCAAAAUCUUUACACCUAUUGCAAGUUUCAACAAUUUCUACACAAGAUGUUGAUUUACUAGCUAUUUGUAACUUAGCAUUCAAAUCAUCAUUAACACUUUUUAAUUUAGAGAUGGAUUCAUGACAAGUAGAUAAUUCACUAGAGAGCAUUUCAUUCCUUUUAAUUUCUAGAGCAAGAGAAUUUUGUGCACUAACAAAUUUAUCUUGCUCCUCAUAUAAAAGAUCCUCUUGUUUUUCUAGUAAUCUAUUCUUGUCAUUCAAAGCAUCAAUCAACUCAUUAAUCUUAUUAAUUUUAGAUCUAUCUAAUCCCUUGAAUAAGCAUGAGUAAUCUAUCUCAUCAUCAUCACUAGACUCAUCCUCACUUGAAGAAGCAUAAGUACUAGUAUCAUGAGUGCUUACUUUCUUCUCCCUUGCCAUGAGGCAAGUGUGACGCUCGUUGGGGAAGAGGGAUGACUUGUUGAAGGCGGUGGCGGCGAGUCCUUCAUUGUCGGAGUCGGAGGAGGAGCAAUCCGAAUCCCACUCCUUUCCGAUAUGUGCCUCGCCCUUGGCCUUCUUGUAAUGCUUCUUCUUCUCCCUUUUGUUCCCCUUUUCCUGGUCACUUUCAUUAUCGGGACAGUUAGCAAUGAAAUGACCAAUCUUACCACAUUUGAAGCACGAGCGCUUCUCCUUUGUCUUGGUCUUGCUUGGCUGUCCCUUGCGACCUUUAAGCGCCGUCUUGAAGCGCUUAAUGAUGAGGGCCAUCUCCUCAUUAUUUAGCCCGACCGCCUCAACUUGCGCCACCUUGCUCGGUAGCGCCUCCUUGCUCCUCGUUGCCUUGAGAGCAAUGGGUUGAGGCUCAUGAAUAGGACCGUUCAACGCGUCGUCCACAUAUCUUGCCUCCUUGAUCAUCAUUCGUCCGCUUACGAACUUCCCCAGAACUUUCUUCGGGCGACAUCUUGGUGUACCUAGGAUUUUCACGAAUAUUGUUCACCAAAUGAGGAUCAAGAACGGUAAAGGACCUUAGCAUUAGGCGGACGACGUCGUGAUCCGUCCAUCGCGUGCUUCCGUAGCUCCUUAUUUUGUUGAUAAGGGUCUUGAGCCGGUUGUAUGUUUGAGUUGGCUCCUCGCCCCUUAUCAUUGCGAACCGUCCAAGCUCGCCCUCCACCAACUCCAUCUUGGUGAGCAAGGUGACAUCAUUCCCCUCAUGAGAGAUCUUGAGGGUGUCCCAGAUCUGCUUGGCAUUGUCCAUGCCGCUCACCUUAUGGUACUCGUCCCUGCACAAAGAGGCUAGCAACACAGUAGUAGCUUGUGCAUUUUUAUGAAUCUGUUCAUUAAUAAACAUGGAACUAUCCGUACUAUCAAAGUGCAUUCCACUUUCUACAAUCUCCCAUAUGCUAGGAUGGAGAGAGAACAAGUGACUACGCAUUUUGUGACUCCAAAAUCCGUAGUCCUCUCCAUCAAAGUGAGGAGGUUUACCAAGUGGAAUAGAUAAUAAAUGAGCAUUAGUACUUUGAGGAAUACGAGAGUAAUCAAAAGAAAAGUUCGAAUUGACCGGUUUCUUUCUCUCGUAUUCGUUGUGGUCGUCGUCAUUUUGGGAGGAAGUAGACUCAUCGCUGUCGUAGUAGACGAUCUCCUUGAUGCGUCUUGUCUUCUUCUUCUUCCCAUCUUUGCGUCUGUGGCCCGAGCCCGAGUCGUUGGACUUGUCAUCCCUUGGCUCGUUGACGAAGGACUCCUUCUCCUUGUCGUUGAUCACGAUUCUCUUCCCUUUAGGAUCCAUCUCUUCGGGCGGUUAGUCCCUUUGUGAAGAGAACGGCUCCGAUACCAAUUGAGAGCACCUAGAGGGGGGGGGGUGAAUAGGUGAUCCUGUGAAACUUAAACUUAUAGCCACAAAAACUUGUUAAGUGUUAGCACAAUAAUCGCCAAGUGGCUAGAGAGGAGUCUCAACAAAACACAAUACCACAAGAGAUCAAACACAGAGAUGACACAAUGAUUUAUCCCGUGGUUCGGCCAAGACCAACGCUUGCCUACUCCACGUUGUGGCGUCCCAACGGACGAGGGUUGCAAUCAACCCCUCUCAAGCGGUCCAAAGACCAACUUGAAUACCACGGUGUUUUGCUUUGCCUUUCAAUAUCCCGUUUGCGAGGAAUCUCCACAACUUGGAGCCUCUCGCCCUUACACUUGAGAUUCACAAAGAAAUACGGAGUAAGGGAGGAACUAGCAAUGCACACAAGACUCAAAAUCAGAGCAUCAGCACGCACACAAGUCGCAACAAGAGCUCGCAACACAACUCAAUGAGUUCACAACUCAACAAGAGCUCUAGAUGCUAUCACAAUGAACCAAAUGCGUGGAAUCGAUGUCUUGGUGCUUAGGAAUGUUGUAGGAAUGCUUGGUGUUCUCCUCCAUGCGCCUAGGGGUCCCUUUUAUAGCCCCAAGGCAGCUAGGAGCCGUUGAGAGCAAAUCUGGAAGGCUGAUCUUGCCUUCUGUCGACUGGUGCACCGGACAGUCCGGUGCACACCGGACACUGUCCGGUGCACACCGGACACUGUCCGGUGCCCGAUUUCUUUCCUUAAACGGCGCAGCCGACCGUUGGCCGCGGAGAGCCGUUGGCGCACCGGACAUGUCCGGUGCACACCGGACAGUCCGGUGCCCCUUCCGACCAUUGGCCCGGCCACGUGUCACGCGCAGAUACCGCGGCCGACCGUUGGCUCACCGGACAGUCCGGUGCACACCGGACAGUCCGGUGAAUUAUAGUCGUACGUCGCCGGUAAAUUCCCGAGAGCGGCCAGUUCGCCCGAGUCAGUCUGGCGCACCGGACACUGUCCGGUGCACCACCGGACAGUCCGGUGCUCCAGACCGAACAGUCCGGUGCUCCAGACCGAACAGUCCGGUGCUCCAGACCGAACAGCCUUUUGGCUGUACACAGCCAACUUUUCUCUGACUCGAUUCCUCCUGUUUCAAGCACUUAGACACAAUACAUUAGUCUUCAAAACAAUGUACUAAGGCUUAGAAACAUACCUUUACUCUUGAUUUGCACUUUGUCCAUCCAUGGGUAUAGAUUCACAUUUAAGCACUUGUAUUGGCACUCAAUCACCAAAAUACUUAGAAAUGGCCCAAGGGCACAUUUCCCUUUCAACAUGGCAUUCCCACCCCCAAAGGGGAGCUCUCGCACCUGCAACUCACAAACUCCAUAGUUUAUAUCGCUUUGACAAGGAACCUGCCAAUUCCGCCCCAUUCAACACCAAGAGUCACCCCUACAAACCAUAGUUUGUCCCGCUUUGACAAGGAACCUACCAUCGGACUCGCAUCGAGUUGAGGACUCCUUCAAUCCAGUAGACUUCGAGAUCAGUGAAUAAGAUGAAGAUGUUGGGGUCAACUGUGAAUAUCAUCUGCUACUCAAGAACCUUUGCAUGAAAAGUGACAGCCUUUGGAAACAGAGAGAGGCCUUAGCUACCAGAAAGCACCACAGUAAAAUGCAUGAUAAAGUGCUAAAGCUGAUCUAAGAGGAAAAGGACAAACUAUGGAUUUUGCAACAGGAAGCGACUGACCCACAGCAGCACGAAUACACCUUGCAGCCUUCACAAAGCGCAAAAUGGCACCACAAGUUUACCCAACAACCUUCACAAACAUGACACAUGUACACUCACCAACCUCCGUCAAAAGAACAAAGACAACACGACUUCGAGGACAACAUUUGGCCAGCACAACAUUAUGUUCCAUUCCAUAAUUUCAACUUCGUAGACGAAUGAUGCCCACUCUCCACCAGGCUACAGUCUAUCCCAUGGCCACAAAAUUACCGAUCAGGCAACUAGCUCAAGUAUAACGACAACUCAGACCCUUCGCAGUAUAUCAUGAGCUAACAAGUGACCGUGUCAUCACAUGGAGAGGGGAUGACAAUGCCAUGGUGAAGCCAUUCAUCAUCACCCUAAGAGCAUCUCCAACAACGCGACCUAUAAAAUGCCUUAUAAUUUAAGAAACAAGUAUAUUUUGUAGGAUUUAUGGCGUGUUUGGAAGCCAAGUAUUUCAAAACCAUGGUUUUGAAAAACUACGGUAUUAAGAUGUCAUGACACAACCGUAGUAUUUUUUACAUCACUCUUGGCAAUACAUGUUUGAUCGAAGACAAAGUAUCUAAAAUCAUGAUAUUUAGUAUUACAUGUGUAAGGCUAGUCAUACACAAAAUCUUUGGGUUGGAGUGUAGGUUUAAAUACUCUAAAAGUAUCAUGAUAUCUACAAAACCAUGGUAUUGAAAACAAAGUUUUUUAUGUAGCCAAACACUUCUUGGCAAUAAUACUAUGGAGUUCUCUGAUACUAUAAGUUUACCUAAAAACUCUAAAAAAUACUUUGCUUUCAAACACCCCCUUAGGACACCAACAAAAUAUUCUGCUUUAACAGUAAAUCCCCAAAUCUAGAUUACAGGGCAGCAUACUACAAUGUAGUAUAUUUGAGGCACUUGAGAUGGUGUCUUAUACUUUUUUGAUCAAAAUUUAUAAAAUAACGCACUGUUGUAGUAGUUUUUUCUGCGUAUAGUCUUAUAUUUCAAUUUGAUGUACCAGUUUAAGAUAUUGUUGGAGAUGCUCUAAGUGUGCAUCUUUGUACUCUCUUCACCUGCACUUUCCUUUGUAUAGCCAGACACACACCGUAGCAGUGGAAUCUAUGCCUUGAUAUCUGCCGGUGAAGACCAAAGCAGACGGCCUCUUUAGCAAUUGGGGAGUCAGUUUGAGGCUCAGAUUGGCCUCACUCUCCUCCUUGUGUAUGCAGCUGCAAAGAUGAAAGAGGUCGGUCUAGUAGCAAGUGGCUUGGCUUCCACCACCGCCGACUUUUGGAGAAACACGCAACGAAUCCGGCCGGGGUCAUCGUCGUCAUGGUAUGGCAGCGUUAUUUAUCGUCUCCUCCGUCACCCAAAUCCGACCAACGCAUCCGAAGUUAGCUAGUACAUGCGUACAGGCGAGAACCAAACACGUCUUGAACCUAGUAAGGACUUAUUCGGUUAUUCCAAUUUCACGUGUACUGAAAUGGAUUGAAACGAAUUUUGACUUGUUAUAGAUUUAAACCGACUCAAUAUCAUUUAAUCCAUAUAAAUUAACGGUGAAACAAACAAGCCUUAAAACAGAUCUGAUGUAUCCAUACAAAACUUAACCUGUUAUGAAAAAUAAUACUCCUUCCACCUAAAGUAGUAUUUAUUUUAGCUCUUGAUUUAUAUGUCUAUUUAUAUGUCUAUAUUCAAAUAGAUGAUAAUAGAUCUAGACACAUAUAUAAAAUACAUACACCAAGUAUUGUAUAAAUCCAUUAGUUCUCUAAAAUGAAUUUUAAUUUGAGAUGAAGUGAGUAUAAAACAACUUAAAAUAAUAUGAAAUUGAAUGACUUAAAAUGACUAAAUAUCAGAUAGAAAGAACUGACUUAGAUUCAACCUGCACGUUGCUUAGAUGGAACGUAUAAUAUCGUAAAGCCUAUCUUAAAAUACUGUAAGGUGGAAGAAAUGACUUAGAUUUAACCAUGCAAUGCAUGAAUAACUUAGAUGCAAUAUAAAAAAAUGUGAGUUAGAAAGAAUAACUUAGAUUCAACACUACAGUAGCAGAAAUGACUUAAAAGUAAAUAAAGUGUCUUAAAUACUAGAAUAACUUAGAUGUAACAUGUAAUGUCUUAAACAUUGCAGGUUAGUAGUGAUUUGCAAGUAUAUAUUUAUAUAGUUUAACCAAACUGGACUUAUUUUUUUGGAUACGUAUAUUGAAUUUAUAUUUUUACAUCAUUUGGGGACCAUGACGAUUGACGACACAAUUAAGAAUUUAAAUGGGUGAUUUGCAAGUUUAACAGCUAGAUGAUAGAACCAAAAGUUUGAGGACCUAAUAAGCGAUUGCGAGUUUAGAGGCGGAGAUGAUAUGGGUAAAAAGUCUGUGAUAAAGAACUUUAUUGUUGUUGUUGUAAAAAACCGGAAUAACACAGUCGAAGAAGUUCAGAGGACUGCUAGUGGGCUUUUAUUACUUUAUCAAGCUGGAUCGGAGCAUGAAAAUCAGACGUCUGGAAUAUAUAGCAAAUUACUUAUUGAAAAAUGUAUUCAACGAUCUACCUUAUUAUAAUAUCAAUUAUGUAUAAUAAGUAUUUGUGUGUUUUUUUAUAUAUUUGGUGAAAACCGAAAGCGUUUGAAGGAACUCCUUCAGACAGAACGAUUUGGUGGCGAAGAGGAAGCAGUUGUCGCCAAAGUAAUAAGCACACGACUACUGAUGACUGGCGUUGUCAAUCUGUAAUACUGUACCCAGAUGGCCAGAUGGCCCCCCUACUGUUUCCUCUUGCCGUUGACAUUCCUCGUCCUCCCUCGAGGAUGGAUGACUGCUGAAAUCCGCAGGUGCACGUGUCGAUCUCCAAGACGGCAAGGAACAGUACAAUACGUAUGUCUCGGUCUUCAACUAUGAAACAGUAAAAAUUCUCGGUUGCCGUCACUGUGUGCCUGACCCUGUUCCUGAAAACGAGAGAAGUAAACGUGUUCAGCUGGAUCGCACAUUGACUUUUGAGAGAGAGAGAGAGAGAGAGAGAGAGGAAAGGGAGGGGGCAGGGGACACGUAGAAGAUGACUUGUCGUGUGCGGAUGGAUCGGCUGCUCGAACAGCUCCAGACACACACAGCGCAAUAAUUCACACCGCCUUUCCAUUUCGGCGUGCAAUAGCCAAUAGCAAAUGGCAGUCAAAUACUCCAGUUACCUGCAAAACUGGAAACAGGCUCGGUCGGCGACCAGCACGUCCGGCAACCAAUCUGGCGCGCGGUCCACACCGCACUGAAAACUAAACAAAUAUAUAAACGCGCGCCUAUGAUCCGUCCCACAUUUGUUCUCCCUCCCAUUCCAAACAGCGAGAGACGAGGGUGGGCGUCAGAGAGCGGAGCGCACAGUGAGGCUGAGGCAGAGCACUACGGGUCGGUAUGGACCUCAAAAUUCCGAUGUGAAAGGGAGGGUAGGCCCGGCCGCACUAGCCACACACACCUGCCGCGCCGGCUCCCUUUCAGAAGUGGCGCUGCCGCUGCGCCUGCGCCUGCGCGGGCGUGUGUAGCGGGUUACCGAGCAGCAGCAGCAAGGCCAGCAGGCCAAUCACAUGCAUGUGCGCUGCCUGCCUCCUCCUCCUCACUGCCAUGUCGUCUUCCUCCUCUAUAAAUAAAGGUCCCCCCGUCCCGGCUGACCACCACCAACUUGCCAUUGCCUGCGCAGCGGAGCGAGCUACCACUACCUACCACACCACGCGAUCGACCAGGCCACACGGCCGGGUUGCCUUGACUAGUUGACUUGUGUCGGAAGCAGGGAGGGAGGGAGAGAAGAGAGCGCGCGCGCGAGCUGAGGGAAUGGAUGUGGAGAUGAGCUGCGCGGCGCCGGAGGCGGCGGCCGUCCCCGUCGACUGGCGCGGCCGCCCGUGCCGGCCGCGGCGGCACGGCGGCAUGCGCGCCGCCGUCUUCGUCCUAGGUGCGAGCGCCGUGCGCGUACUGCUCUUGUCGCUGCUGCCGGCCGGCAGCAAUGUUCAUGCCACGCACAUUAUUGAGCUACAGCUAGCUAGCGCCUAGCGCGGGCGGGCGUGUGGUGAUUAUAUAACAAUAAUAAUACGUAUUAGUAUAAUCGCAGGCGUCCAGGCGUUCGAGAUCAUGGCGAUAGCGGCGGUGGGGAACAACCUCAUCACCUACGUGUUCGGGGAGAUGCACUUCCCGCUGUCGCAGGCGGCCAACGUGGUGACCAACUUCGUCGGCACCAUCUUCCUCCUCGCCCUCCUCGGCGGCUUCCUCUCCGACUCCUACCUCGGCUGCUUCUGGACCAUGCUCAUCUUCGGCUUCGUCGAGCUCUCGGUACGUCAGCGCGCUCGCUCGCUCGUUCGUUCGAUUCGUUCUUGCUGCGCUAGUAAACCUUGCGAUUGUUCUAGUUCUAGCUCGUAGCUCGUCAUCUGGCUGGCUGGCUGGCUGCUGUGCUGCUGGGCAUGGUAGAGUCGUCGGUUUCACCACGCACCAGCAAGGCUUGUGUGCUCGUAGUGGGCAUGCGCCUCACGGAGUGAUAGCUACGUGCCCGUGUGGCCCGGGCCCCGGUGCGGUGAUUGACCCAUCACUUCCCUUUUUUUUUUCUAGUGGUGUUUGCGAGUUGUUGCGACAACAGAUGUGUUUUUCUUUUAUCAAUAAAACGCGAAGGAGAACGUUGCAAGUUUCAUUGCACAAAGGAGGAGGACUGGAGCAGACAAAUACCACUAAAAAUAAAGCAGGCCCUGCAAGAACAAAAAAAAAA